Molecule: long non-coding RNA, 83721 nt
Filed under: Cucumis sativus (cucumber)
Lineage: Eukaryota; Viridiplantae; Streptophyta; Magnoliopsida; Cucurbitales; Cucurbitaceae
Description: long non-coding RNA (CSAT_LNC002698)
Source: RNAcentral
GUAAAAAAAAAAAAAAAAAAAAGUUGAACUACGUUAUGACUUGAUCCCUAUAUUAUAAAGGGUACGUAGGCAGCUUAAGGAAAACCUUAAGCCCAGUCCAGCAAAAAAAAAGUUGAACUACGUUAUGACUUGAUCCCUAUAUUAUAAAGGGUACGUAGGCAGCUUAAGGAAAACCUUAAGCCCAGUCCAGCAAAAAAAGUUGAACUACGUUACGACUUGAUCCCUAUAUUAUAAAGGGUAUGUAGGCAGCUUAAAGGAAACUUUAAGUUCAGUCCAGUAAAAAAAAGGAAGAAAGACAAAUUACAUUUAAUAGAAAAUAUGAUGAGGAGUGGAACAAUGAAAGAAUAAAUUUUUUUUAUUUAUUAUAAACUUCUAGCAAAAAAAAAAAUUAAAAAGGCAUAAGUAGAUAAAUAAGAGAAAGCAGAGAAUCAUGGAGUCCAUUUAAAGUUCUUCAGCUCCUCUAGUGUGCUUUCUAAAGAUUCACGAAGUGUUGAUAGCAUUUUAGCAUCAAUAUCUCCAACGAUCGGGGCACAUUCGAGUUUGUCAAUUUCCUCACAAGUCUUCGAAAUCUCAUGUUGCUUCUGCUUCAGCUCCAGGUCGUUCUUAAAAAUUAUUCCAGAAAGUUUAGCAGACUCAGCCCGCACCAUCUUUAGUUUUGCCUCUAGUUUAGCCUCCUUGGCGGACAGUCGUGUAAGACGACGUUUAGCAGUGUUGGUCUCUGCCAAUAUACGAUUCUCAUCAACUCGCAGAGUCUUCACAAAACCUUUUGCCUCCGUUAGCUGAACAUCCUUAGUUGAUUGGAGUAGAAAUGAGGAAUGUAUUUGAUUAUGGUUCUCGACACCUUGGAAGUAACCAUUCACAAGCUCCCUCAAAACAAUAAGGUUGUCGCUGCCGCUAGUCGCAAUCGCAUCAAAGAUCUUAUGCAUUUCUGGUUCAAGACUACUCAGUCGUUCAAAAGGGGUACGAAUGAUCUUCUGUCGUAGGUUUUCCCAUAAGGUUAUGGCAGCCUGUCGUCGGAGGUCAGAAAUUAAGCUGUCAGCACAAAAAUGAGAAAUCUCAGAAACUGUAAUAGGCUCCGUGCCUUCCACUUUUUGAGGAGGUCCCUUGAUCACAGGAGGACAAGCAGACACAAUAUUUGCGCCUAUAGGUUCCUUAGAGUUCCCAUUAUAAGAAAGUACAACGUUACAGUCUUCUAGAUUCGGCAUCGACUCUAGGGUAUCUUCGAUGUGUAGGUCGUGAUCACCUAAAGAAGACUGCAAAAUAAUAUUAACAACAAGAAAUAAGAGAGUAAAGGAGAGAAAAUACAAUAAAUAAAUAAAUAAAAAGGGAGACGAAAAGAAACCAUGGGGGAAGGGACAUCGAAGAAUUGUGCAGCAUCAGGGACCCGAAUAGGAGACUCUUCAUCAUCGAUCGACUGUUUGUUGGCUUCUUGGUCUCUUCCAAUGGCGAUCAUCAUGCUGCUUUGACUGUCCUCAAUACGUUUAGAAGGAUGCUUGGUAGCUAUGAUAAGCUGGUUGUCCUUACCCACAUUGUCAAUACACCUUUAAUAAGAUGUUUAAAUCGUGUUAGAAAAGAGACAAUUAUCCACCAAGCGUUUUGUCCCUCCCUCAAUUUUCUCCACAAGUCGUUCAUCAGUUUCAUCGAGCAUAUCUUCUGAUUUCCACUACCAAAAUUAUGUUCAAUCUUUUUUGUGGUUUUGGAUUUGAUGUGAGGGGGAGUAGGACGAUCUAUCAAAUGUUGUACUCCUUCUUGGAGGUAAUCACCGUGUUUUUGCAAGCCACCGACCUUAUAAUGAGAGGUAACAUGUGUGUCUGGAUUAGGGGCGACACAGGAAGAUAUACUUGGGAAAGUGUAUUCUCGCGAAUACAAAUCAUCCAACAAUAUCGUACGUUAAAAAAAUUGGCUCGGGAAUUUCUUCACCUAAGUCAUAUGCACGUCUUGAUAAAAUCCAAAUUGUCGGCUAAAGCGACAAGGACUAUAAGGCUCAAUGUGGAGGAUCCACAUUGCGAGGAUAGAAAACAAGAGCGAAUGCUUAUGAAAAAUGAAGCAUUCCAACUAAUUAACUCUCCAUCAUCCGUUAAGAGUUCGUCCUUAUUCUUUGUUGGAAGACACGCAUGCCAUGACACAUACUUUUCCCUUGUGGAUAUGUGUUCGAGCCUCAAGAUUAGUAUAAUAUUUGGCCCCACCUUCACCAGAAAAUUCAACCAUGCGAGGACCCCUAAGACUCCUAGGGCUUUAUAAUGAGUGUUGAAGUAAAGAGCAAGCCACCCAUGGACAUAGUGAAGAGGAAAACAGGCAUUUGAAUAACCAAGUGAUGAAGUAGAAUCAUGAACUUGGCGUAGGCCACUAUAAUAUUAGCUAAAACAGGGACAACAAGGCUAAAUGUGUAGCCUUCCGCAUGAGGCUAGCAACCUUAAAAACCUCUGACGAAGGGAAAGUUGCUUAUCAGGGAACACAAAACACAUAGCCAACAAGAGAGAAUGCCGCUAGAUAGGUUUUGUCCCUAUGAUCAUCACGUGACGCUUAAGUCAAGGAACACUUUGAGUUCAGCUUUAGACCAGUCAGGACGUCUGAUGGGAAUUCCAUCUGGAUUAUGAGUUGAGCGAGGGCGAGAAGUCUUUUUAGGCUUUCGAGGAGCGGUUUCAAUACUUUACCUCAGAUCGUGUAACCCAAAAAGAGAUCCAUUCACUUACAGUGAUUUGAGAGUGAUCCAUGCGUUGAGAAAAGCUAAUAGGCUAAAAUAAAUGCUCACAACUUCUUGGACAUACAUCAGGUGAUCCUAUUAAGUCUUUGGCAAGGAAUGCUUUCUUCAUAAAAUCUACCUUUAAUCGGGAGUCCUCCUAGUAUCCAUAAGUCCAUAAGGAGAUGGACAUCUCACCAGCUGAGGUGUGAAGAGUGUUUGUUGAAGGACACCAUGCCUCGCAGAAAGCCCGAUCAAUGUCACUGUUGCGAUCAUAUGUAUAUAGGGAAGCCAUCACAGCAUUAAAUAGGGAGGCUCGCUUGAGUACUGCCGUAUUUCUAGCAACAACGAGCUCUAACCACUCCCAAUAAUGAGGAAGAUUGUAAAAUUCUCCAUGUACCUUGAGCACAUUUCCCCAACGAAUUUUUGGGUCGUUUAUAAUUCGACGACCCAACGUUGAUUCUGGAUCCUCAUUUGGAGGCUUGUUGUGAAUCGAAGACUCCAGAAACCAAGAUUUUAAAGAUGAAUUGGGAUUUACAAACCGUUCCUUGGACCAUUUAGGCAAAAAGAUAAAAUUGUCCUCGGGUAUUUGGGAGUCCAUAUAUUCUCAUAUGUCCCCUCUCUCACAGGAAGAAUGAUCCCUUCCUCUAAAGAUUGAUCUACGUCUUUCAGGAUAAUUAAACACCUUUUGGUCAGUCAGAAUACUCAGUGAAGUGCACCAUGAUGAAAAGUAGAGUUCCUGCAAAUAUAAUAAUAAUAAUAAUAAGAAUAGAAAAAAACCAAAACAAAAAAAAACAAAAGAAAAGAAAAAAAAGAAAGAAAGAAGAAAAAAAAGGGGGGGGGGGAAGAAAAAAAUGAAGAUUGAAGCCCGACGAUGACAAGAAUCGAUCUCUCCUACUAGGGCGAUAGAUCUGACGGCAAAAGCCGAUCGUCCCUAGAAGAAGCUCAACAAAGUCAUUUGCAAACGAAGAUCGAAGCCCGACGAUGACAGAGUCGAUCUCUCCUACUAGGGCGAUAGAUCUGACGGCAAAAGCCCGAUCGUCCCUAGAAGAAGCUCAACAAAGUCAUUUCUGCAAACGAAGAUCGAAGCCCGACGAUGACAGAGUCGAUCUCUCCUACUAGGGCGAUAGAUCUGACGGCAAAAGCCCGAUCGUCCCUAGAAGAAGCUCAACAAAGUCAUUUCUGCAAACGAAGAUCGAAGCCGACGAUGACAGAGUCGAUCUCUCCUACUAGGGCGAUAGAUCUGACGACAAAAGCCGAUCGUCCCUAGAAGAAGCUCAAAAGUCAUUCCUGCAAAAAAAAAAAAAAAAAAACAAAAAAAACAAAACAACACAAAAAAAACAAAACAAAACAAAACAGAAUUAAAAAAAGCAAAACAAAAAAAAAACACACACACAAAAAAAGAGAAAAAAGAGAAAGGGAGAAGAAAAGUUUUCUAUACCUUUCUGCUGAUUGGAUGAGGUAUAAGUGAGUAGGGUGUGAGUCUAUUUAUAAGUCCAACAAAUCCAAUUUUUAAAAGGAUUAGGAAUGAUAUUUAAUUAUUUUUUUUAAAAAAAAAACAAAUCCAAUUCCUAAAAGGAAUAGGAUUGAUUUUAAAUAUAUAUAUAUAUAUAUAAAGAAAAGAUAAUCCAAUUAUCUUAUUUUAUUUUAAAUUAUUUCUUUUUUUUUUGUUGGAUAAAUCUCAAGUUUAACUUUUAUUGAGAUAUUUAAAAUAUUUAAAAAUUUCAACAUUUAAAAAUAUAUAUAUAUAGAUAAAUAUUCUCAAUUUCAAAAUUCAAGUUAAAUUAACUUGCAUAUAUGACCUCAUUUUUAUCAUGAAUUUAAAUCGGAGCAUAAAUCCAACUUUACCUAAGAUUGAGGACCUGAUUUUUUAUCUCAAAUUAAAAUUGGUCAUUCCAAAUUCUUAUGCAUCCCCAAGAUAAAUUAAGGUACGGUAGAAACUUUAUCCUUAUUUCAAAAUUAAAAUUUUGGUUAUAUUCCAAAUUUUACUUAAAAAAAAUCAUCAUAUUAAAAAUUUUUUUUAUCCUCAAAUAAAAUUAAGUUAGGAAUAAAACUUUGAAUUUUUUUAAGGUUUGGCCAUAUUCCAACCCUUAUUUUAAAUUGAAAUCAAACUCACGUACUAAAUUCAAGUUUGAUUAAUUUGAUAUAUUGAAUUGAGUAAAAAAAAAAAAAAAAAAGAAGCUCGUACUUUGACUUCAAAUUUAUCUUUUCGAGAUUCAUUCACCCAUAUACGUGCAUAAAUCUCGAAAAGGGGGCAUUUGUUGAAUAAGAAAUUUUGAGACUAAUCACUAGUUGCCAUAUCAUUUAUUAAGUUAAUGAUGAAAAGUACAAAUAAUUAAAUUUGGGACUAAUUAAAAUUGACAUAUGCUCCAAAUUAAAGAGUUGAAAAUAAAUAAAAUGGUCAUUCUAAUAAUGCCACAUGUUUUCAUAUUAAUAGUUGGAUUAAGUUAAUCAUUUUAGUUCAAUUAAAUAUUAUUUACUUGGACUAAGUUCAAUUAAGCCCAAAAAAUAAGCUUAAUUGAACCCAAAGACUAAAUAUAACCUAAGUCCAUAUGGUUGAGCCCAUGGGUCUGGUCCAUGGACCAACCAGGUUCAAACCCAUAAAGCCCACCAGUGAAAUCUAUAAAUAGAGGAAUUCUCCUCAUUUGUAGGGGUUGGAAAUUUUGACUCUAGAAGAUCCAGAGAGAAUUCUUCAAAGAGCUAGAAGACUCCCUAACUCCUGAAGUCGACCAUCCUCGAAGAUUGAAGCUUCUUUAAAGAUACAAGCUUUCUUCAAGGCUUCAACUUCAAGAACAUCACGUGCUUCGCUUCCUCAAAUCAAGCUGAAGCAUCCAGUUGAGAGAGAAUCAGAGGAUCAAAUUCUAGAGAUUGAACCGCAUCGCAUCAAAUCAACAAAAUACAACAUCAAACUCAAGUUCAAGUCCACGAAUUAAAUUCUCCGAAAAUCUCGUGCGAACACAUAUAUUUCUAAAUAAAUUUAUUCGACGAAAGUGGCUAGAUUGGUGGGUUCGACGGCGAAGGCUUGUUGUGGCAGCAACGACAACAGUGGUUGGAGUGUGGAAUCGACGACGACAAGUGGCAAAAAAUUGGAAGGCAAGGGUUCUUCAUAACGACUCGGUAGCCCACUUCGUUCGACGAGAUUUUUUUGCAUUUUUGGUAGAGUGAGAAAAAAUUGCAUUAAGACUUCAUUCGACGACAUCGUUUUUGCUUAAGAGAAAAUUUGAUGUUUUUACUUAGUUGUAAUUGCGUGAGAGAGGGAAAUUAAAAAAUUUUGAAAUUUGAGGUUUUUUCAUUUGAAAUUUUUUUUAAUGACAAAAAAAUUGUCGUUAAUUAAUGACCCAAAAAUUGUGUGAAAUAAAUUAAAUUGUGUCAAUAGAAUUGUUUUAAGAAAUAAUCCAUAUUUUUAUUUUCAACAACACAUGUACCUCAUCCACCUCUUUUUUCUUUUAUUUUCAACGACACAAUGUCUUGAUUAAAAUCCAUUUUUCUAGUGACAAAUGUAUCCAUACCAAAGUGGGAAGCAGCUAAGGGGACGAAGGUAUAUUCGGAGAGAGAUUGUUAAACAAUUGUAAAAAGUAAGCCCAAGAAGAGAGGUCCAAUAAAAUUCAGCCACCUCUCACAUAGUAAUUGAAAUAGUCUAGCAAUUUCAACCAUUUCCCUCACAGAGAAGAAGAAGACCAUAGCCACUCGAGGCUUUUGCACAUACAAACACCAAGAAGAUGGUGUCCGGUUCCGUACCUGUGCUAAGCGCGUCGUUGUUGACAUAAAGUUUCUAUAUACAAAGCUAUGUAUCUCUACCCUUGACUUCUCUUUCUCUCUUUCUACCUUUUUUAUCCUUUCUUUCUCCCAUUCACUCAAUACACUUGCAAGAACCUUCAUUUUUUUUGUAUUUAAAUUUUCUUGGCACCAUCCUUUUUUAAUUAUCAAGGCUUUGUUAUUGUGUACCUGUAUUGUGUCGUGCCUCCUUCACUUCUCAUCAUCAUUUUCAUGUCACAUCUCUACCUUGUCAAUUUUCGUUUUUCACUCAGCUUUCUUUCUUCAUUUGUCUUCACUACUCUCUUCGCUCCUUCUUCUCAAGCUCUAACUUUUGCUAUUAUUAACCAGUCUCAAAUGACCAUUGGAAAACCUAUAGCCCACUGAGAGGCAGCCAAUAUAGUAAUGCCUCUAAUGAUAAACUCCAAUGAAAUCAAAAGUUCUUCUUUGAGAUUUGGAAAAAUAUAUUAGAUAAAGCAUAAUUAGUUGAAAAAGAACCUUAAAAUUUUGUGUUAAACGACUACAAUUUCAUCGUAGAAUAUGCCAUAUUGACAGCAUAUUUUUCCUACAAAAACAUAUUAACUAAAAUAAGCUCAUAAACACGAAAAUGCACUAAGUGUUGGUUAACAUACACUACCUUGAAAUAUGAUGAAGACUUUAUUUCUCCCAACCAGACAGCAUAAUCAGGAGGUAGUUUGGGAGCAAACAGAAUUGACUUAAUUUCCACUAGCAAUAUCCUAUAAAAAUUUCAAAUUCUUGAAAUAUGGAAACCAAUGGAAGUUUUAGGGAAUGAAGUAUAACCUCUAAAUACAGAAGGACGACAUAAAGGGGAAUGAAGACUCGAAAGAAGGACGACGUUUUCGUAGAGAAGGACGACAAUUUUGAGGGACAACGGACACGAUUUCAGAGUAUUAGGGAUGGUAGAUGGCGAAAGUCUUAGGGAUCUCGUACUCAGUGGAUGGUGAACGACUGAAAGCGAAGGACCUAGUACGCAUUUUUGGAGAGGGCGUGUGAACGCGGAUGGACGGACGGUGAACACGGCAGAAGUGAGAGAUCCUCAUAGAGAACUUGGCAUUUUCGAAUGCGGUAGAGACAAGUCUAGGGCUUCGAAGGAUUCAACCCAAUAUUUUCUUUAUAUAUAUAUAUAUAUAUAUAAUAUAUAUUUAAUAACACUUGACGUUUUUAAAACGUAAAGAAAAACGAUUUUACUUGACGUCUAAAAAACAUCAAGAAAUUUAAAAAAUAACUCUUCUCCGGCUUUUUAUAAAAAUUCUUGACGUUUUAAAACAUAAAGAAUUUUUAAGAUAUUUCUUGACGUUUUUAAAAUGUCAAGUAAAAGUACAUAUUACUUGACGUUUGAAAAUUUUGAAGAAUGUUGAAUAUAUAAACAUUCUUGACGUUUUUAAAACGUCAAGAAAAAAUACAUAUUAGUUGAUGUUUAAUAAACGUCAAGAAAUCUGAAAAUUGACCUACCCUCGCCUUUUCUAAAAAUUCUUGACGUUUUAUCUUUGGAACUACCCCUUUCUUGACGUUUUUUGAAAAAAAAUGUCAAGAAAGAAAAACAACAAACGUCAAGAAAGGCCUUUUUUGUAGUAAUGACAUACAAUAUAUAUAUAUACAUAAAUAAAUAAAUAAAUAUAUAUAUAUAUAUAAUGAAUUAAAAUGGUUUUGUUGCUUUACUGUUUUACUCUAUAAAGGAAGAGCAUUAUAAAUAUAUUAUUGAGGAAACAUCUUUCGAAAUGACUGGUUUUGGAAGUGUCAUUAGAUUUUUAGUUAGUUAAGCACAUUUUCCUCCCAAAUAGUAGUCGAAAUACAACUGUUUUUUAAGAAGAAGAAACCGAAUCCUUCAAACUAGGAUAAAAGUCAUUAUCUAUUAACAUAGAGUUAAAGUUACAAGGUUGAAGGCUAGAGGGAAGCCUGAAACAACCUAAUCUAACAAAGCUUAAAGUUAAGAGUUGGUAGUAACAUCAUAUUAGUUACAAGAUGAAUGACGCCUAGACCAAACUUCGAUCAAGUUACAUGUGUCUUCCCACAAGUUAACAAUAAACCUUGAUUUAUCCUUAAAAAUUCUAUUGUUUCUUUCUAUCCAAACAAUCCAAAGUAAGCCAGUUAUGGAGGAGGAAUACACAUUAGAGAGCUCAAUUAUGGAUGGAGGAAUACACAACUUUUUCUCGUGGUCAUUUUCCUCGUGGGCAUUCUCUUCAUGUUUCUUCUUAUUCCGACUAAAAUACAAGCACAAAUUAUUCUUCGCCUUCGUAUAGGUUUGUUUGAAGAAGAUUAAAAAAGUCCUUAAUUUAUCUCGACACUUCCAAAACCAGAAUAUAAUACCCGUGCUACAUAAAUCCCUCUUUCCAAAUAGUCGAACAUGAACUAUCCAUGCAUAUCUUGGAAUAAACAAGAGAAACCCUAACUAAACGCAAAUAGAAAAUACGUUGCAAUCUAAAAUAUAGUUAAAGAAACAAAAAGAAGUUUUAAUGUUGUGGGUUUUUUACUGAUCUUCUUCAACAACAAAAUAACUCAACGCCACAGUUCAAUUUUUCCUUCCACGAAUUGGGUUUUUAAAGAGUUUUCACCGCGAAUAAAUUUUUUUUGGUUCGACAAGUAACAACAUGUGAAUCCCCAAAUGCAAGGUUUUAUUAAAAAUUAAAAAUAUAAUUUUUUAAAAAAAUUAUAAUACCUAAAAAUAUAUUUUUUUUAUAUUUAUAACCUAAUUUUCUGUCAUUGCAUACUUGAGAGAAAUAUAUUUUUCAAUUAGCAUAAUAACCUUUAUAUAGUAAAUUAAAUUUGUAGAAUGAGAAAAGACCUUAGAUCCAAAAAAGUUAUUUAUUUAUUAUUGGAGUGAAUUGUAUAAUUAAUGUAGUUAAUGGAUGGUUUUGUAACCAUAAAAAAAUAAUGAAAAUAAUUUUCUAAAAGAAUGAAUGAAAAUUUGGAAAGUUAAAAGGUUUUAGGAAUUAAAAAAAAGGGUGUAACAUUAUAAAAGACUACCAAAUAUACUGUAAGAGACAUGCAUUAAAGGAGCUGAGUGUCACGUGUGAAAUUUUGACCCCAAAAAUCACCCCCAAAAUUGCGCUAAUUCAUGCCACGACUCCUUCAGCAAGGCCCAGGAGCAGCCCAACGUGGUCCUAAGACAGCCUAAGGGCGACCACGACAUGUGCCUACGGCAUUGGCAUGCACCUCUCGAGGACAGCUCACAAGCCCCGCACGCGUGCCACGACGAGUGCCCAUGACAGCCGAGUGUCAGCCCACGACACAGCCCCAUAGCACGCCAGAUGCCCGUUGACACGGCCAUAGGCGCCCGGCACCAGCGCCCACCAUCGACCCAGCGCGCGCCGUGUCCGCCCAACGUCCAGACGGCCCCAGAACCUCCGAGAAGCUUCCAGAAGAAUCGGGAAGGCGCGCAACACUUCGCGUGGCGCGCACGGCGCGAACCCAACGCGCGCGCCGACGCCCCCAGAUGCUUCCAGAAGGCUCCACACAUGCCCAUGUGUGUGCUGCCCGCCCAUGCUCAGUCUAGACAACCCCAGAAGCCUCUAGAACGUUCGAGACAGUGCCAGAAUGUGCUGGAAUGCGCGGAGGCUCCCGAGAAGGCCCCGGAACGUGCUGGAUGAUGCUGGAACGUGCUGGAACACUCUAGAAGGCUAUAUGACGGUCAGCGAGUGUCAUGAAAGGUCUAGUCCUCUCUAGAAUGUUCUAGGCUUCCUUGUUAUGUACCAAAUGAACUUGUAAUCUCUAGAAUCUCCCUUGGCCGACCUUCUAAGGCCCAAGGUCGGUGGGGAUGGUCUAUAAAUACUUGGGAGGGCCUCAUUUGUAUCAAGCCUUGCAACCUUGCAUCUUGGCAUGUCUUAGCCAAGCAAGGUCACCUUGCCACCCAAAGUCUCCUUGCCCAUGGUAUCCCCAUGACAAGAAGACAGCAUAUUUGUACCCAAAUAUGUAUUCAUCUAUUGUUGGAAUGCAAUGUAUCAUUCCAAAGACGUAUCCAUCCAAACUCCCUCAUCCUUCCAACCUCUCUCAUGUCUUGCAACCAACCUUAGUACUUCCGCUGCAACCGUUGUCGUAGUGCUUGGCACACUACCCCUUCCGGGAAAGGCUUACUUGGCUACGUGGGCAUUGUAGUUAGCCAAGUGCCGCAUGUAUGGUUAGCUUCAAGAUCCUAACCACGUGACAUGAGGCAUGCAUACUACCAAAUAUACUAUAAAUAAACCAUAAUUCUUUUUUAAGAAAUUAAACAACUAAUUAAAUAUAAAGAAGAAAGAUUAGAAAAUGAAUGAUCAAACAAACUAUGACUCAUUUAUUUUUGACAGGUUCGGCCAGUAUCACCUGACAAUUCAUUUUCACCAAGAGAAUAAACAUGAGUAGCCUUGGAAUCAAGUUCCUCCGAUAAAAGCCACGGAGUUGAUGGGUUAGAGACAGAACCAGAAUUUGAGUUCAACGAUGUGGAUGGAAAAUUCUGAAACUAGGAGCAACAGGAAGUUAAGACAACGAAUUAUUUUCAAUAUAGAAAGGCUAAUUGUAAGAAGUUGUUAAUGAAGUGUCCAAAUGCAUUAUGGUAAUAUUGGGUGCAGAAUGUUUGGAAGUUUUAUCCGUGUGCUGUGAAGCACCACAGAGUUGAAGCAUAUGAAACCAGUGUUUAUCUGACAAAAAAUAGUGUCAUGAUCAUUGCCUUUCCAUUCCAUAAAUUUAUGGAUAGCAGAAGAAAGAGAACUCUCAACACUUGAAUCACCAUAUAGCACUCUACAUCCAGGUGGUGCCUUGAUUUUUGAAGAUUUAGUUAAAAGCAGUGAUAAAAUUGGUACAUAAAUUACAGUGCAUUUCUCGAUAUGCAACAACAUUAAGAGCAACUUAAAGACAACAUCAUCAAGAAAUCUAGUAUUUAAAAUGUACAAAGAGCAGUAGUAAACAUAUGUAUUUUAUGGCUGACUUUAUCCAUAAUAAAUGUUGGAUUAAAUCAUCAAAAUAAAACACAAACAGAUAAUUAUCGAGUUUUUCAAUGGAGGAUAGAGAGGAAGACAUGCAUGCACAACUACUAGAUCUAUAUGGUGCCAGACUGCCAGUAAAAAUUUAAAGACACACAUGACAACAUUAUUUUGGAUGAAGUUCUAAUAUUGCAACCAUGGAGGAAAAAUCAGCAAAUCUUAAAUAGAUGUAGUAGUCCAAAUGAUAAAAGUUUGUCUCAAGAUAAUAUUUCAGUAACUGCAGAUGCAUUGUGUUGAACCUAACCUCUUGUGUUUCACGGUAAUGAACAAGGACAAUGUGUUCAAAGGUCCUGAACAAAAAGCAGAAGCAAGUCAUAAAUUAUAUAAGUAGAACACGAUAUACUGCCACUUCUAAUUUCAUUUUUCUUUGCUUGUGGCAUGAUGGGGAUAGACCCCACUGAAACAACUGGUAGCAAGCAAUUUAACAAUUUUCUUUCAACCAUAACAUACUUAUCUAGGAGCCAAUAACACCGGCGAACAAAGGUUGGGCUAUCUAGUCCAUGGGCAUAGUAUACAUGUAUCCUUUCUACAUUACCAACCUGCCGAAGAGAAAGAAAAGAUUAUCAAAGCACACCUUUUCUUGGUUAUUAAGGCUGUAAAAGAAUGAAAAUUACCAUAAAUCUAAACACAGUUAAUAUUAGACCAUUGAACAACCUAUAGAUUCAAAAGGAAAGACUCAAACCACCAAUAGACUGGUUAAUCAUUUAAAAUGAUCUCCAACAACAUGAUACGCAGUAUAUCGUGCUAGAUCCAUAAUUACCACAUGUGGACUCCUAUGGUAAUUUCAUUGAUGAUACGCAGCUAGUAGGCAAGAUUAUGAAAUGAAGACGGUAUGUGAGAAGAUUGAAAAGAUCAACAUGAUAAAAUUAUAGGGAUUUGAAUUUAUAUCUUAAGAACACCAGAGUCAAAUGCUUAAGCUGAUUAACUGUGUUAAAUUUAACUCUAUAAUAUAUUUUAAAUCUGAACAGUCAUUAAACAACUACAUUUUGAAUAAGCUUUAGAGAAUAUUAGCAAAAACAGUAGAAAUUACUUCAAAUUUGUAGAGAGAACAUAUAAAUUAUAUUCUACAGAAACACGAGCCCAUAGCAUGUCUACUGAGUAGCAAUGACAGUGAAAAAGGGAAUAGUAAGUAACUAAUCUCAUAAACCCCUUUCUCACAUCUAACCAAGUUCUUUCAUGACAUGCAAAAGCAUCAAAAUAUUUAAGAAAACUUCCAAUAUUGCAUUUGGAACUCAUUGAUUGACUUCAACGUUUAAGAGUCAUAAAAGACACAACUUACUUUCUCACCUGUCACCACUAAGCCUACGGCAACAUCUUUUUAUAAGAUAUUCAGCUAAUCUUUAGAUUGUUUACCGAAUAAUCGUCUAUUGUUUUGUAAUUGAUCCCACCAAGCGCUUGCGCCACCUUGAAGUUUGAGAGCAACUAAUCGAACCUUCUUGUGUUCGUGGUGUAUUGGCAUAGUCGAAAAAAUUUCUACGUUCUUGAUCCAAUCAAGAAACUUCUCCACGUCCAUUCGACCAUUGAAGGUAGGGAGAUCCACUUUCAUACGUAUUUCUUGAUCUUCUUGAAAGUAUGGUCGAAGUCCAAGCCUUUGUUGAGGUUCUUGAUGAAUGUUCAGCAAGUUGUCUUCAUCGGAAGAGUCAGAAUCAUUUAAGAAAUUUCAGGUACGUUGUUUCCAUACAAUCGAUUAUUGUGGAUGUGAAUAGGUUGAUUUCUUAGUAGUUCUUAGUUUACAACAGGGUUUAUUGGUCUUUCUUGUCUUUCUUGGUUUGCUGCAAUUGGGUUUCUUGGGGCUGAAUUGCUUCUUCUAAAGGUUGGACAUGAAAUCGGGUAAAAAGGUUUGUUAAUUCUACUAACGAUUGCUGUAUAUCUGACUGCCCUUUUCGAAGUUCUUCAAUAGCUUGUUCUACCAACUGCAAGCGUUGGUUGAAGGAGGCUUCCGCGUCCAUGGAUAAGAGUGGUAGGAUCCAAGUUUUUUUAGGGAAGAGUGAGCUAGGAUCACGCUCUGAUACCAAUUGAUUCAGUAAUUGCAAAGCUAGAAAUCUUUAUGUAUAAUGCCUCUUUUUUUUUAUGUCUUAUUAAUGAAAAUGAGAAGCUUUUUUAUAGGCUGGAGAUUAUAAGAGUUGUUAAACUAACUUGGGGUUGAGUUAGUUAACUUGGAGUUGAGUUAGUUAUAACUAACUCAAGAUACAAAAUUGGUAAUUCAAAUAACUAAUCCUAAACUAUAAAAAUGGUAAUUCAAACCCCUCCUCUAGGAUAAAACUCAAGAAACAUCAAGAAGGGAGAUGUUCUACAUCAAAGUGUAGAGAACGAUUCAAAAUCCUUGGUGAAAGAAAUGAAUGUUAACUAAUGUGUGUUUAUGUGAAAUUGUUCAAUGAGUAUGUUAAGGAUAAAGAAAGGUUUAUGCGAGAUAAAAUUAUUUGAUGUUGUUUAUGCGAAAUGAUGUUUAUGAAAAGGUAUUGCGAAAAGGAUUUCAUAAAACCUUAGUCUUUUAGACAUUCUUUCAAAAAUUCAUCUUCCAAGAUGAGGUGUUUAGGCCAAGUAGAGAAGAAGGUUGAAGGAUUUGCAGCGAGAUGACCAGACGUUUUGAAAAUAGUUAAGCAUUGGUUGUUUGGUCAAAGUGUUGUAAUUAUGUAUCAAACACAUGUUAUUAAUAAACAUCUUGGUAGGUAUUUAUUAUACUUGCACGCCUACUCUCACAUUUAGCCAUAUGUUGUACUUUGUUUUCCACCUUGACUUUUAAUGACACACAAACCAACUUUCCAAGGAAUUCCCUUUCAUUUUCCUAUUAACUCAUAUUCUCUUUUUUUAUCAAGUCCUUGAUAGAGAAAGUGGACUUUGAGUUGUUGGACUUUAGUAUUGCAUGGACAUACAAUUUUGAAUGAAAAAUCCUUAUAAAUGGGGCCUUUUAACUCAUUUGAUGGGUUGGCUAUUGAAUUUGGGCUUUCAUACCAAAUGGAAUUUUUUUUCUUAUUUACUUAAAGAAAAAAAAAAAAAAUUUACCACGCCCAUUUUUUUUCAUCUAUUUCUUUCGUCCGGUUCUUUCAUCCAACGAGUCCCACAACUCGAUUAUGAGUCUAGAAGUACUAAGUCAAACUUAGUGGUUGUUCGAAUAAAACGCAACUUCAAAUGUAAGUAUUCUAAAAACCUUAUUUUUUGGUUUAGUCUCGUUAAUUAAGCCCAAUUAGGGUAGAAUUUCGAUUCUUUUUCUGUUGUGCAUGUCUUAGUUCUAUCAGUAACUCCCUUCAGGGUGAUAACUCUCAUCAGCAGACUUUCCAUUACUGGUUUCUUCCUUAGUCAUCAUUAUAUUGUUGUUUUCCACAAUAGAUAGGGUGAGUUGCAGUUUUACAUGAAAUGCUCUGCUCACCCACACUCUUUUCUCACUAGUUCCUUAUUCUCAAUCUUCAACGCAAAUUUCAUCAUCUGGGCCAACCCAAUCGGUUCCACAGUUUCCACUUCCAUUUUUAUUCAUGGGCUAAGCCCAAUCAUCAAAGUCUCCUCUAACACUACCGUUUGAAGAAAUGCUACUAGAGCUAAAUAUCGAUCAAAUCGGUUGCGGUAUUCUUCUAAUCAUUUUCUGUUUGAUUGAGAAAAAUCUUCCAACCAAAGUUCCUUCUCGAAUUGAUCGAAACUGUACAAGCAUUCGUUCUUUCAGGUCAGCCCAAUUCUUAAAAACUUCCAACUCUUCUUGUGCUUGGUACCAAUCCAAUGCCAGAUCAUCAAAACUAAUAACGCUGUGGUUAAUUUCUCUGAAUCAGUAAGAUCAUGUAUCUUAAAGAAGCGAUAGGCUCUAAAUUGAGACCCAUUUCUAAUUUGAGUAAUGAAGUAAAUUUGGCUAGGUAUUAAGAAUUUGGCGUUUGAAUAAAUCCACGAAAAGGAUUAAGCGAUAAAAAAAUUUAUGGUUAAGUAUACGUUAUUGCGAUUCAGUGGGUAGUUCGCGAAGGAAGUUGUGCGACCCAUUUCUAAUUCGAGUAAGGAAGUAAAAUUCGGCUAAGAAUUAAGAAGUUGGUGUUCAAAUAAAUCCAUGGAAAGAUUAAGUGAUAAGAUCUUUUACGGUUAAGUAUACUUUUUUGCGAUAAGUGGUAGUUCGCGAAAGAAGUUGUGCGAUAAGAAGCGAAAAAGUCUUUGCGUAAGUUAGAAAUGAAAGUUUUGAGUGUUAGACUAGGAGUUUUGGGUGGUCUUCGCGAGAAGAACCAAGUGUUUCGUGGAGAAGAAGUCUACGAGGAAGCCUUGGAGUUUAAGUUCGUGAUAAGAGUUUUAUGCGAGUAAAAGUUGGUUAGUUCAUGUGGAACGUUUCUUAUAAUAAAAAUAUAAUCAAGCGAUAAGGUUAUUCACGAGAAAUGUUAAGUGGUUGAAUUUAUUCACGGUUUGGGUUAGGCGGGAGCAAGGUUUGUAAAGAAAAUGUCAAAUCUGAUUUGACAUGGGUUAACAUGUAAGAUUAAGGAUUUGAGCAUGACUAGGUUAAAUAUUAAGGAUUUGCAUGACUAAGUUAGUAUAAGGGAUCUAUAAAAUAGGAGAAUUUAGGUAACUAAGGAGGGGAUGACGAGAGUUUUGUUGAAAUGCUAAAGUGUUGUUGGUUUAGCCACGAAAAGAUGGUUGUGAGAAGGACUUCUUUAGUAAAUUUUGGUGAGUGCUUUUCAGUCAAAAGAAUUUAUGUUAAGAAACUUUAUUACGAUUUCUCUUUACUGAUUGAAAGAAGAAUUCAGAUGAGAAUGUUUCAGAAAGAUUUCUAUGAAAAGUUAUGUUCAAGCAUUAUUAUAAUGUUAAAGCUUGAUUUGAUGACUAUGAUUUCAAUAUUAUGUUUCUUUGAGAUGAUGCUAACUUUUGUGUGCACAUAAAGAGUGAAGGCACUAUGGAGUGUACGAACUACAUGGUAAUAAGAAGCUGACUUAUGCAUUGAAAUGAGCGUAUAAAGCUUAGCGGAUGACAACAAAGACGAAUUUGUAUGUUCUCAGAUGUUGAUACAGUAGUCUAAACGCGAGGUAAUGACACCAGCGUAGAGAAUGAUUCGGGAUCCUUGACAAAUGAAAUGAUUUUUUAAGCAUAAAGAAAGGUUUAUUCGAAAUGAAAUAAUUUUUCGGUAUAUUUAAAUGAUUUGAUAUUAUUUUACAAAAUGAUUAUGAAAAGGUAUUGUGAAAGGUUUUCAUAAAACCUUAAAGGAUUUAAAAAAAAAGUGGACCAUUCAACUUAAUUCCCAUCCACUAUCCUCUUGUCCAACAUGAAACUUUAUCUUAGUAAAACUUCUUGAUCCACUAUUUUACAAAAAUAUUCAAAACAAUACCAUACUACACCAAAUGUGAUAUUUUGGUAACACUAUAAAAUGGUCAGAAAUACCAUUUUCCUGACUUUUUUUUCAUCGACCAUUAAAGAAAAAGUAUAGAUGAUGUUUCAAAAACUUCCAAACCAUUGUGUUAGUUAUCGUUUUAGAUGAGGGUUGGGGUAGAGCAUCAAUACUAAAGGUUGUUAAGGAUUAAGAACUAAGACUUGAAAACAAAACCGCCUGCCUGGUUGACAACAACACCAUCCCACUAGAGUGCACAAUGAUUAUUAUUGCAUUAAGAAGAAGAUGGCAGUUAACCUUAGCGCCAUAAUCAGAACCUCAAUCCUCCCUUUGAUGAAAGCACCUAAAGGUGUCAUGCCUUUCCCCUCUACCACAUUGAAGCUCUUUGUCUAACACUACAAGAAAUGAGGGCUCUCUCGAUGCAUAAAAUCAUUGGGAGAUAUAUAAAAAGCAUCAGAAAAGGCUUUUCUGACAUACUAAUAUACGUUGGAACACAAGUCAGGAAAAAAUGUAUCGGGAGAGGAACUCCCGAUGCACAAUGUUGUGCGUCGAGAGUUUCUAGACAUCUUCUGACGUUGUAUGAACGUCGAAGAUGUUGUCAAUAUAGCAUCGAGAGAUGUCUAGGAACCAUGCGUCGGGAGAUCCUCUAUUUUUUAUUAAAAAAAAUAACUUCAAUUAAUUCCUAAAUUCAAAUUGAAAACUCUAAAUUCAAACUCAACUUCAACACUUCAACCUCAACUUCAACACUUCAAAUUCAAAUUUCUAAAACCUACAACUAAUUCAAAAUUCUAACAACACUUGAAAUUAAAUUUCAACACUAAAACUUACAACUAAUUCAAAAUCUAAAUACUAAAACUAAUUUGAAAUCUAAAAUCUAACACCUAAAACAAAUUUGAAAUCUAAAUACUAAAACUAAUUAACUAAAACAAAACAAUAACUAACUAAACCACUUACCGAUGGCGGCGACGACAGGACGACAACAGGGACGACAAUGGAGAUGACAAUGCCCUCUUCUUCUUUAUCUUCCUCUCGGUCUCCCUCUCCCUCUCUCAUUUUUUUCUCUUUAUGUUUCAUUUAUAUAAAGAAUGGAGUUAAAAAAGGCAGAGAACUCCUGACGCACAACGAAAACGAAUUGGUUCCACAAACCAAUCUCAUCACAGAGGUACUCUUUGCAAUUUAAGCUCUAUUUGCAAUGGACAGUCUUCAAAGUUUUUUUUAACGAUGUUUCCAAUGCUUUCCUUUCUCUCUCAUGUUUAAUAAAACAAAUUUCUCUUAAAACCUGUAGGGAGGCUACAUCGUAUCGAAUUUCAUACAACUGACGUGUUCAUCGAGUUACAACAAGUGCCGCACAAUAGUCUGUUCCAUUUUGAAAAGUUGUGAGUGUGACACGCUCACAUGAGGUUAGAACGAGACAUGGCAAGGCAAGCCCUACGCGCGCCUGCAACUUCUGCCACAAUAUUUUGUAAGCAAGCUGAUGUCUUUAGGCUGUUUUUGUGGUUUUUGGAAAUUUUAAGCAAAGUUUUGAUAUUUUUAUGAUCAACGGGAAUUAAAUGGAAUUAUUUCCCAUUAUUUUUCAUUAUUUUAGAUUUGAAGGAGAUCGACCAAGUUUAUAAGCCAAGGGUCCAAGCUACUCUCUAUAAGUGACAAAAAUGAGUUUAAAGUUGAUUUCUAUACAUGAAUUUACUAUCAAAUGUUUCAAGCAUGCUUUGAUGUUUGAAUAUUUGAGGAUACUGACUAUAAAGUAUUUCCAAAGCAUGAAUUUAGAAACAUUUUGGUAAACAUGUUUUUAUUCAUGAAUUUACUAAUGAAAAUUAUAAGCAAUCAUGAUUGUGCUAAGUUUUCAGAAUGUUUAAGCUUGAAAAUAAUAUUAGCAUGUUUUAGUCUAUACCUAAAAUAUUCUAAGAUAUAUAGCAACCCUUCGCGGAGAGAUUUUCUUGUGCAUAGAGGUCAUUUGAUUUGGAUAUUCAGUAAAUACCUAGCUUUCCAUCAUUGGUAUUAGAUAAGAGAUGAAGACUUCUAAAGAUGCUUAGUUUCCCAUCUCAGGGACGAGAGCUUGUACGAAUGCCUAGUUUUCCAUCUCAUUGUAGUUAUAACGAGAUAGGGCACAAUUGAUGCCUAGAGUUUCAUCUCGUAAGUAUCGUAUCACGGGAUAGGGCUUCUAUGCCUAGUUUAUUGUUUUUCGUCUCGACGAUUAUAGGUAUAACAGAGAUUUGGUUUGAGGUGCUUCUUAAGUCUUUAAUAUUUAUGUUUGUUUUGAUCCUAGGAAUUGAGCAUGUAAUGUAAAAAGUCUAUGCACAAGGGGUCAUAUGGCCAUCUCCGUGUUUCUUUAAUUAUCAAAUUUGUUCAAGUUUUUAAUUGUCUCUAGAUCAAAAUCUGGAGUUAUUUUUUGUGAUUUGGUGUACAAAUACAUACAUCCAUGUUUCUAAUUAUGAUUAGAUUGUUUUCUGCUCGCAACAUUUUAUUGUUUAGCUUGUCUUUGAUCUUGAACUUACUAUUAUGUUGAUUUAAAUUCCAUUUUAGCCUUAGAACUUUCAAAACAUCCAUUUUAGUCAUCGAGCUUCCAAAACGUAGCCAACUAAGUUUUAGUAUUUUGUAAAUUAUUUUAUCAAUUAAUAUUCAUUUAUCCAAUACUCAUCGGUCAUUUCUGCUAUAUGUGAUUGGAAUAUAUCUCAUAGGAAGCAUUUUGAAAGUUGGGAAAAGAUGGAAAAUUUUAGGGACUAGAACAAGAAUUUGUUUAAUAUUUUUUGAUAGGGUGAAUUCUUGCAAUUUCCUUGUCGUAUAUACAUAAUUUUUUCUCUCAUUUGGCAAAUUCAUUAUGCUUGAAAAUUUAGGUGAUUCAUGAGCUAGAUAAAGUAAACAACGUAUGGAAGAUGAUCUUUGUGGCUUGUGAGGAAGACGUGGAGGAAGCCUUGGUGGCCGUAGAAAAAGGGAUAUGGACUUUCAACGUUGAAUGGUUAAUGGCAUGUAUAAUGAGACAAGAAGUAGACUUGGAGGCCCUUAAUUUGCUGAGUCCCUAUGAGAAACAAGGUCACCCUAACUUUCAGUUUUGAACAAGCAGCAGCCAGCCAUUUCGUCCUUGUGUAAAUCCACUCUUUUCUCAACUCACUCUAAUUUGGUACAUAAACAAACUCUGAUCGCUCCAUCUCUAUAUUCAUCAGUACAUAAAAGACGAUAAGUUUAUUCAUGGAGAAAGUUGGAUGUAAGUAUGUUUUAGGAAUGGUCCUUCAUUUAGUAACUUUGGGAAUUGUAAAAAUGAGGUAAUGAAGUUCUAUCAAGUUGAAUGUUCUUGUUUAUGUUAGAUGAGACUGAUUCUUGGAUACCAGAAUUAACUUGAAGUACGUGUUUGAGUUCCAUUGGAGUGAUUAGAGAAAAGAUGUUCCUUUAAAAACGGUAAUUUUUUUAUGUAGACUUUCUUUUUAUUAAAAUUGCUUAAAAUACAAUUUGAGAGUAUUUCAAUAGCUUUCAAAGAGUUGUCAAACACUUGUAGUUUUUCUAAAAUAACAUAUUUUCAAAAUUAAUUACUGUAAUAGUUAAACAAAAGAUUCUUUCCCUUCGAAAUUUUAAAGUUUGUCUAGUUACCUCUUAAACCUUUCAAUUGUUUAAUAGGUCUUUCAAUUUUAUGUUUUAAGUGUCAUAAAUUUUGAUUUUUUUUUAUUUGUUAGAUAUAAAUCUGAAGAAAUGAAUAAAGUAGAUUUGUAAGUUUAAAAUAGUUUAAAAGUUGAGAAAUUAAAUUUGUAGUUUAAAAGUUGGAGUAAAUAGUUUGUGUUAAGUCGGGUUGUGAUAUUUUAUUUAUUUAUUUUAAUAAUAGAAGAGAGGGAGACGAAAACUGCAGACUGAAGGGAGAAGAAGCGGUGGCUGACUUUGUAUAUUUCUCCUUUCUUUUCAAUUUGAGAAAAUUUCUUUGCAAUUCACUUUGAAAAGGAAAUGAAUAUUUCUCCCUCAGACUUAUCUCUCUCUUCUUUUCAAUUUAUUUUCAAUUUUUCUGUGUGCUUCUCACAGUGUAUGCAUAAUCUCUCUUUCAUUUUGAUAUUCAUCUCCAUUUCAAAUAUCUCCCACACAAAGAACAAAGAAAUGAGUAAAGUAACUGAGAGAGCAUUUUGUUUUUCCCUUCAUAUGGUUGGUUACUUUUUGUCAAUUAAAUGAAAAGUGAAGAAUAAGAUAAGAUUUUCUUUACCCAUUUGCCAUCAUCAUCAAAGCUAUUUACCUCAUUUUUGUUCACACACACACAACUUCAUUUUGUUGGAUUACACUCAUUUGAGAAAAUAGCAAAAUUUUAUUAGAAGAAUAGCAAACACGAGCAUUUCAUGUGUUUUGAAUUUUCAUUAACCCUAAAAUCUCCUCGCCUGCUUUUUAGUUAAACUGUAACUAAUUUUGAAAUAUGCAAAAUUUUAGCAUAAAUAUUGAUUUUCUCCUACAUUAUCUUAACACACUUUUUUUCCUCCAAAUAUUGGAUUUAUAUCAAAUCUUUAUUUUCAAAUUUUACUUUAUCCAAAUUUUCAUUUUUCAAAAUUUCAUCGUUAUUCUACUUUUAUUUUUGUAUUUCAUAUAUAUAUAUAUAUUUAUAAUAUUUAAUCUUAUUUUUUCUCUUUUCCUAUUCAUCUUCUUCCUUUCUCUUCCUCUUCAACCUACGGCCACACCACCGUCUCUUUUCUUCCUUCUCUUUUCAUUCUCCAAUCAACUUCACCACCGUCUUCCACCUACAUCGAACGUCAAGCAAAUUUUGUCGUAUCGUCGCAUCACCGUUAGCCCGAGUCACUCCGGUUCCGUCACGCCAUGUAUGUUUAGAUUUGAAUUGUUUGGUUAUUUGUUGCACCGAUCCGUCUCCGUUAGAAUUUGAUUCUCCACAAUUUGGGUAAGUUAUGGAAUUUACAUAUAGAGUGAAUUGAAUGGAUUAAAUUGUUUGUGGAAGUGAUUGAUUUCUCUUCAAUUAUGUUUAGGUCGGUUCGUUGCACUUUAGUUUGAAAAAGAAGCUUAAGUAAGGUUAUAAGCUAAGGGAUUCUCUACUACUGGACUCACCUAUAGUUUUGAAUUGUGCUGUCUGUAUAGUUACCUCGAUUGAGUAAAGAUGUCGAAACGAUAUAUAUACGUAUGAAUGUAGACUUGAUGUUGAAUGCAUAUUGUGAUUGUCUGGGAAUAUAUAUAUAUAUAAAUAUGUAUGGAUGUAGACAGGACGACAAUUGUAGAUUGUGUUUGUAUGGAAUGUGGAUGUGUGAACUUGUGAUUGUCGUUUAGAUUGGGUGUAUGUUAUACUAAAGUAUGGUUGUGUACUGGUGAAUUGAGGGGUGUUAUGACUAUAUAGUUUGAUUGACUGAUGUAUUGAUAUGUUACUGGCGGACAUUGGGCUAAAGUGAGAUAAGUUGACUAUUAGGGUGUUCAGUGAAAGGAUUAUAUGUUGAAGUAGUUGGUUACUAUGAAUGAGUUUUAAGAUGUUUAGAAUGGAUUGAGGGGAAAAUUGUUAGAUUUCUAUUGGGUAGUUACCUUGCAGGUGUCCUACAGGAUCACCACCUGAUAUGUGCAUCCUUCGAUAGCACUAGACUGAUAUGUGCAUCCUUCGGGAGCAUUAGACUGAUAUGUGUUUCUGCGGAACACUAGACUGAUUUAUGCGUCCUUUGAGGCGUUAGACUGAUUAUGUGUAUCCUACGGAUCACAAGACUGUGACUGUGCAGGGUACCCCAAUAGGAAGUUAACAGUUUCUUUUUCCCCUAACGGGACGAAUAACGGGUCUCUUAUUGGGUAUGUUUAUACUCAUCCUUUCAUGUUUAACUAUUUUAGGCAAAGGUAACAAAUGAGGUAGACUGACGAGGGACAAGAAGGAGACGUGAUUGCCAUAAGGGAAUGUCCUUCAAAUGCUUCUGCUUUAUGUUUCUUGUUUUCCUUUGUACAUGAGGUUGUUUAAAAAUUUUGUGAUGGAACUGAGUUUACGAACUGUUGUUUUGUGAAUAGUACUUUAAAGUUUGGAUAUUUGAAAUAGGGCCCGAACUUAAGUUUGUUUUCUUUGAUCGUAUGAUUUCAAGUGAAUUUUACUAUAUUUUGUGUCAAUCAAGGUCUCUUUGUCAAAAUUAAUGACUUCAACUUAGUUAGAAAAGUUGGGUCGUUACAACAAAUUUUAAGUAUUGAUGUAAGAAUUAUGUACUUCAUUAUAAAGGUCGAUAGCUUACAAAUAUUAACACGAUCGUGUACCGAUAACAAGACGAUUGUUUACACUAUUCAAUACGAUCACCAAUAUCAUAUGAUCGUGUACCCAUGUCAACACGAUAAUUUAUUUUAAUCAAUAUUAUCAUUUACCGUUCUUAAAUGUUCGUUUAUCACGGUUAAUAGGAUCGUUUAAUGUAUAUUAUUUCAUUGCACGAUCGUUUACUUAUUCUUGCAUUGUGUUUAGUAUUAUCAUUUUGUACAUUUUAUUCUUUUAUUCAGUAAUAAAUGUAUAUCUAUGUCUAUCUAUUUCUUUCUAUCACAAUUAAAUACUUAAUUUUAUUUUAUUUAUUUUUUUUACAGAUUAUAAUGUCUUUUCCUAUUGUUGUUUUUUACGGAGGUCAAUGGAAUGGAUGUAAUAUUUAUGAGAAUUACUUAGUUGCUGAAAUUUUGGUAGGUGUCCGAGUCAGCUUUAAUUCUCUAGUUGAUUUAAUAUGUGAACAGAUUCAAUUGGAUGGAUAAGUAGAAUUAUCUGUUUUACUUGAUUUUGGUAAAAGCAAGGUCCAACUGUGGUGCCAGUAAAGAAAGACAAUGAUGUGGCUUGGUAUUUAUCUUUUGCUAAAGAUGCAACUAAUAUACAUCCAUUAGUUGCUCAUGUAACUGUUGAUUUUUUUUAGAAGGUCUUCUUCUUCUUAGAGAACUACCUGUAGCUACCAUGCUUAGUUCAAUUAGAGAUGUAUUGCAAAAGUGGUUUGAUGAAAGAAGUAAAGCUACUUUUACAAUGAAGAGUUGUUUGACUUCUUGGGCUGAGAACGUGUUGCAUUUAGAAUAACAUGAAAAGUCAAGAAUUUUAUUGGUAAUUUUUUUUUUUUUUUUAAUGUUUGUAUCUCAGGUAGAUAUAAAUAGAUUGCUAUUUUUGUCCAUUCGAUAGAGAAAUAUAACAAUUUAUGUGUGCUUGUUUCAGAUAUAUAGAGAUAGAUAGCUAUCAAUGUCUAUUUGUCUCUAUUUGUGCAUGCUUUUUUUUUUAAUUUUUCUAUAUUUGUUUUAUGUAUUAGGUUGAUCCAAUUAGUAUGACUGAAUAGAAAGUAAUGGAUGAUACAAAAUGAUAAUGUGAUUUAUUUAUAUUGGUUCUAAUUUGAAAUAUUCAAAUUUACUUUGGAAAUUAGUAUAAUUAGUAUAAUAUAUAAUGAUACAUUAUAAUAUAAAGUUUAUAUUUAAUGAAACUUUAUUAUAUAAAUUUAAUUUUAGAUAAAGUUCAAAAUUAAUUUAUGAGAAAAUAUUUGAAUGAGUUCAAAUAUUAAUUUAAUGUGGAUUUGUUUCAUAUUAAAACUAUUAAUUAUGAGAUAAAGUUAUAUUUGAAUAUGAUUCAAAUUUAACUUAAGUUAAAUAUAAAAUAUUUAAUUUAGUUAUUAAUUAAUUGAAGAAUUAAUUAAUAGUUUAGUUUAAUAUUAUUUAAUUAAAUUUGAUUUAAUUAAAUUAAUAUAAAACUAUGGGUAUUGGAGAGAUAUUCAUUCAAUAAGAUUUAAAUGAAAUAUUAAUUAAAUAUGAUUUAAUUAAUUAUUAACUAAUUGAUUAAUGGUUAAUUAGUUAGUUGAUUUGAAACUUCUAUUAAUUUAAUAUUUUUUAAGUUAAUAGAAUCCUAUGAUUUUCUCCUACCCCGUCUCCUACUCAAUGAAAGAAAGAGAGUUAUAAAUAUGUAGAAGAAAAACAUCUUUUCUUAACCAAAAUAAAAUCGAUGAUUUUCUUUUCUGCAAAAUAGAUUGUAACGACCUAAUUUUUCGAAUUAAGCUGAAGUUAUUACUUUAAGACUAGAUUCGUCUUUAACCAUAAGACUUUAUAAUUUAAAAAAUAUAUUUUUUAACAACAUUAAAGAGUUUUUAUUCGGCUCUAUUUCAAAUAAAAUUUUGAAAGUGUAAAAGUAUCGAUAAUAAAGAAAGUUCAAGAACAUAAAAGUCGUUCAAUCAUGAAACCCAAAACAGUCUCAAUUACUAAAGAAAACCAAAAAAAAAAAAAAUAUAAAGUAAAAGCAAUUUGAAGGACAUUUCCCUAUGGCAGUUUCGCGGAAAAAGAUUAAACAUAAAAGGGUGAGUAUAAACAUACCCAGUAAGGGACCCACUACUGAUCCUGUUUAGAAGAAAAAUAAAAUUGUUAACUUCCUAUUGGAGGUGCCCUGCACUUUAAAAGUCUUGUGAUCAUGUAGGAAUACACAUAAGCAGUCCAAUGCCCUAAAGGACACAAAUACUAGUCUAGUGCUCUGCAGAAAGCACAUGUCAGUCUAGUGCUCUCGAAGAAUGCACAUGUCAGUCUAUUGCUCUCGAAGAAUGCACAUGUCAUUCUAGUGCUCUCGAAGAAUGCACAACAGGUGGUGAUCCUGUAGGACACCUGCAAGGCACACUACCCAAUCGACAAAGCUAACAAUUUUCCCUUAGUCCAUUAUAAACAUUUAAUCAAUCCAUUCCUAGUAUAGUCAAACUACUCCAUCAUAUCAUCAAUCCAACUUAACACACUUACGUUCAAUCUAUUCAAUCUAUCACAAAAUCAGUUGAUACUAUAACAACACACCAGACAGUCAAGAUAUAUAUAUAUAUACAUAACACCUUUCUCAGUUUACAAAUACAUUAUCCAUCGUAUCUACUUCUAUACCAGUAAGUUUACAAACACUAACUGUUGAGUUUCUACAGUAGAUUCUUGAAGAUGUGACUCUUGAACAGAUGGAUUCUCAUGGAUGAUCACAUGUUUGUUAUUUUGAUGGUCAUCAUUCUUGUCUAGAUUGUGAUGACUAGAAUCAUCACGAAGAUCAUCAUACAUGUUGUUAAUAUCAUCAAACAAUUGAUUCUGAUUCUAGUAUAGAAAGAAAAAAGGAUAAUAAAAAAAUAGUUACAAAAUGAUCGUGUAUCCUUAAGCAAACAAUCGUGUAGAAUAUCUAAACGGUUGUUUUACCAAGGGUGAUCGAUAUUUUAGAUGGGAUAUGCGAUCGUUCAUAUGUGAUAUGUGAUCGUGUAAAGAUAUAUCAAACCUUUGUUCUGUCAGAAGUCGUGCUAAGAAGAGUUGAAAGCUUGUAAUAAGAUCCAUCAAAACUGAAAGAUUUUACAUCAACACGUUCCUGACACAGUAAUGCAGUAUCAAUGAGCAUCAAAUUACGUGAGAUACGUAUUAGAAAAUAUCUAACUGCUCAGUUAAUUUUUUAUGGACAUCAAAUCACCUUUUUUCAAGCUUAAGGAAGGAAAUGUCGACACUAUAUAUGUCAGAGUUGUGCAUUGCAAUGGAAGUGCCAACACGAGGUGAUACAUGUGUGUCUGGGAUGUAAAUGCCACUCCCCGACUAGGACCAACAUAGACUUAGGGAGAAAGCAUGCUAGGAAUUGGAGUUGUGUCCUCAAUUUCUUCAAGGGACUUGAGCAUUUCUUCUUACACUAGAAUGUCUCCUGUUCAGAGAGUUUAUAGGAUUUCUCAAGGCCAUUUUUGCAUACUUAACAGCUCUUGACAACGGUAGAGAGUCUAACUCUACACUUUCAAGGGGUUCCAACUCCACCACUCGCUGAGCCAAAGAUAGAGACGAAUCAUUAAUGAUCCAGUAAGCAACAUGAAACCUUGUAAUUUUGGGGUUAACGGUAGUCCCUCCCAUUACUAGCUCAACACUUAAACGGAGUCUCCUCUAUAAAAUAUAAAAUAAUACAGACACAAAUAGUGAAUGAAAUCUUGUGACGUAACAAACACAAAUUUUAGGUAUACUGCAAUUUGACUAAAUAUUGAACAAGAAAACCCAAGGGAAUACACAAAAAUCCAACGUUUUUAGGGGUCAAUUUGGAAAAUGGCAAAACUACUUUUUCUUUUCAAUUUUAGCAAACAACAUUUUUUGCGCGUGCAUGGUAUUUUAUAAAAUACCAAAAUAUUCAACUUCUCCAACUAUAAUUAUUUUGUUUUUACGUUAUAAUUAAUUUAUGUUAUGUAUUUAUCAACUUUUAAUUAAUUUUUACUUGAAAUAGAUACAUUAACUCAUAUCAUAACUUUUCUCUUAAAAUCUCAGGACUCAAUUAAUUAAUUCAAUAUUUUAAUAACAUUAUUCAAUCUUAUUAAUUUCAAAAUAAUCUAAUUGAAUUUGAAUUUCAAAAUAACCAAAUUGAAUUUCAAAAUUACAAAAUUAUUAUUUUCUAGAAUUUGAGAAUCUCAACGAUAGAUUUUAUAUUAAAAUAAACUUAUCUCAAAAUAAUUUUAAUGACUUGAAUAUCAAGAUAAUUAAAUUAUUAUUUUAAAAAUUGGAAGAAAAGCACAAAAAGCGCACACGCCCACUCACGUACACACGCACGCGCGCGUAUACGCACACACACGCACACGCACACGCACAAAAGCGCACACGUGGACACUCACACCCACGCACACGUAGACAUACACACCCACGCACACGUGGACACGCGCAUACGCACACACGUACGCACUCACGCACACGCACGCACACACGCACAUAUGCACAAAGAUGUAUAAAUGAAUUAAAAUUAAAAAAUAACUACAAUAAUUUGACUUACUAACGUUAAUUAAAUUAUAAUUUCUAUCAAUAUUGGUUUAAAAGUGUCAUUAAUGUAAUUAUUUCAAUAUAAUGCACUCUUAUCCAAUUUUACGAACAAAAAACAAGUCGAAUAUGUACCAUUAGAUGACACUCUUUGUCAUAAGAGAUAUAGCAACGUUUUUAUGGGUCAUUUUGAAAAAUGGCAAAACUACUUUUUCUUUUAAAUUUUAGCAAAUAGAAUUUUUUACACGUGUCCAUGAUAUUUUAUAAAAUACCAAAAUAUUCACCUUCUCAAACAGUAAUUAUUUCGUUUCUACGUUGUAAUUAAUUUAUGUUAUGCAUUUAUUAGCUUUUAAUUAUUUUUUACCUGAAAAAGAUACAUCCUUUUUCUUAAUAUCUCGGGACUCAACUAAUUGAUUCAAGAUUUUAAUUUUAUUCAAUCUUACUAAUUUCAAAAUAACCUAAUUAAAUUUCAAUUUCAAAAUAACAAAAUUAUUAUUUUUCGAAAUUUGAGAAUCUCAACGAUAGAUUUUGUAUCAAAAAUAACUUUAAUUGAAUUUCAAAAUUAAAAAAUAUUAACUUGUUCGCACACAAGCACACGCGCACACGUGCACAACGCACGCACACACACGCACACACACCCAUCCACACACGCACACGCACACGCACAUAUGCACACACGCACAAAGAUGUGUAAAUUAAUUAAAGUUAAAAACAAAUACAUUCAUUAUGUUCAGAAAGAGUUUUAAACCAUGUUCAUUUGACUUAAUAACAUUGAUUAAAUUAUAAUUUCUAUCAAUAUUGGCUUAAAAGUGUCAUUCGUGUAAUUAUUUCAAUAUAAUGCAGUCUUAUCCAAUUUUACGAACAAAAAACAAGUCAAAUAUGUACCAGUAGAUGACACUCUUUGUCAUAAGAGAUAUAGCAACGUUUUUAUGGGUCAUUUUGAAAAAUGGCAAAACUACUUUUUCUUUUAAAUUUUAGCAAAUAGAAUUUUUUACACGUGUCCAUGAUAUUUUAUAAAAUACCAAAAUAUAAACCUUCUCAAACAGUAAUUAUUUCGUUUCUACGUUGUAAUUAAUUUAUGUUAUGCAUUUAUUAGCUUUUAAUUAUUUUUUACCUGAAAAAGAUACAUCAACCCAUAUCAUAACUUUUUUCUUAAUAUCUCGGGACUCAACUAAUUGAUUCAAGAUUUUAAUUUUAUUCAAUCUUACUAAUUUCAAAAUAACCUAAUUAAAUUUCAAUUUCAAAAUAACAAAAUUGUUAUUUUUCAAAAUUUGAGAAUCUCAACGAUAGAUUUUGUAUCAAAAACAAUUUUAAUUGAAUUUCAAAAUUAAAAAAUAUUAACUUGUUCGCACACAAGCACACGCGCACACGUGCACAACGCACGCACACGCACGCACACACACUCAUCCACACACGCACACGCACACGCACAUAUGCACACACGCACAAAGAUGUGUAAAUUAAUUAAAGUUAAAAAAACAAAUACAUUAAUUAUGUUCAGAAAGAGUUUUAAACCAUGUUCAUUUGACUUAAUAACAUUGAUUAAAUUAUAAUUUCUAUCAAUAUUGGCUUAAAAGUGUCAUUCGUGUAAUUAUUUCAAUAUAAUGCGGUCUUAUCCAAUUUUACCAACAAAAAACAAAUCGAAUAUGGAUCAGUAGAUCUACACUCUUUGUCAUAAGAGACAUAACAACGUUUUUAGGGUCAUUUUGAAAAAUGACAAAACUACUUUUUCCUUUGAAUUUUAGCAACUAGCAUUUUUUGCACGUGCAUGGUAUUUUAUAAAAUACCAAAAUAUCAACAUUCUUCAACUGUAAUUAUUUCGUCUCUACAUUGUAAUUAAUUUAUGUUAUGCAUUUCUCAGCUUUUAAUUAUCUUUUACUUGAAAUAGAUACAUCAACUCAUAUCAUAAUAUUUUUCUUAAUAUCUCGAGACUCAACUAAUUAAUUCAACAUAUUAAUAAUUUUAUUCAAUCAUACUAAUUUCAAAAUAACCUAAUUGAAUUUGAAUUUCAAAAUAACAAAAUUGAAUUUCAAAAUAACAAAAUUGAAUUUCAAAAUAACAAAAUUGAAUUUCAAAAUAACAAAAUUAUUAUUUUUCGGAAUUUGAGAGUCUCAACGAUAGAUUUUGUAUUAAAAUAACCUUAAUUGAAUUUCAAAAUUAAAAAAUAUCAACCUGUUCACUAUCUUUAUCUCAAAAUAACAUUAAUGCCUUAAAUAUCAAGAUAAUUAAAUUAUUAUUUUAAAAUUGGAAGAAACUCAACAUUAAAAAUAUUAACUUGUCGGACACAAGCAUAGAAGCACUGCGCACACACGUACACAUGCACACUUACACACACGCGCGCACACGCACACCUACACACAGACACCCACAGACGCACGAACCCACGCACACACACAUGCACACGCGCACGCAUGCACACACACACCUAUCCACACGCACACAAGCACACACACAUGCACAAACGCACACACGUGUACGCACAAACCUUAUCUCAAAAUAGUUCCUAUUUUUGCUGACAGUUUAUUUUUUGCCAUCGAUAGAGGAUCUUCCAAUAGACCUACGUGACGGUGUGUGUUGACAGCUUAAUUUUGUUGGCAAAAGAAAAGUUGAUUAGUUUUUGAAGAUUUACUGACGAUAUUUGUCAUCGACAAAGGGUAAAUUUCUUGUAGUGCAUGUACAUCAAACAUAUCAAAUUUGUUAAGUGUACCAAUGAAGUAUAACAAGUUUAUUAGUGGUGUAUCACGUGUAUCAAACUUAUUAGUGAAGUCUUUAAGUGUAUCAAACUAAUCAAGUGUAUCAAGGCCUCAGGGGUAUCAAGUGUAUCAAGAAGAAUCAAGUGUAACGAGAAGUAUUAUGUGGAACGAGAAGUAUUAUAUGUAUGAAGAUGUUUCAAGUGUGUAUCAAAAAGUAUCGAGUGUAUCAAUGAGUACCGAGUGCAUGAAUUGUAUCUAUCAAAUGUAUCAAGUGUAUCAGUAAGAAGUAUCAAGUGUAUCAAGGGUAUUAGGUGUAUCAGACGUGUAUAAGGUGUAUCAAAUAUACAUCAAUAACGAGGGCAUUUGUGACAUUUUACCUCUUGAUGUGUGAGUUGGUCUUUGUUUUUGUCAUUUUCUCAAAUAAUAAAGUAUGUGUUCUAUGGACUUAAUUAUUAUAACUUAUUUUGCCAUUUUCGCAAGUGUCCCUUAAUUGUAAUACAUGUAUAUGUGACAUAAUCUAAUCAAACUAACUCAUAAAUGGACUUAAUGUAUCAAGAGGUAUUAGGUGUAUCAGACGUGUAUAAGGUGUAUCAAAUGUACAUCAAUAACGAGGGCAUUUGUGACAUUUUACCUCUUGAUGUGUGAGUUGGUCUUUGUUUUUGUCACUUUCUCAAAUAAUAAGGUAUGUGUUCUAUGGACUUAAAUAUUAUAACUUAUUUUGCCAUUUUUGCAAGUGUCCCUUAAUUGUAAUACAUGUAUAUGUGACAUAAUAUAAUCAAACUAACUCAUAAAUGGACUUAAUCUAUCUCAUGGACCACGAAUUCUUCAAUUACUUGCAAAUUUGGUGAGUUCCUUCAAAUGGUGGGCGGAGAGCUUAAUUUUGAGAGAGAGGAAAAGUCGUGAAGAGUAUUUGCGAGAGAGGGGGGAACGUCGCCAGAGAGCAUUUGCGAGAGAGCUAAAGACAGCGACGAUGUGGGAUGAAGUAAGGUUUUUUUCGGUCAUUGUUCACAAGUGGGAUGAAAGCUUCGAAUUAUUUGUUUUAAAUCAAAAAACGUAUGAUUGAAGGAAAACAUUGAUUUUUAUUAGGGUAAUUUUUUAAUGACACAUAAUUUAUGCCAUUAUUUACAAUGCCAAAAUUUUGUCAAGAAAACUCAAUUUGUGUCACAAAAAAAUUUGUAUUUUUAUUUUUUUAACGACACAUUUUAUUCCCUCAUAUCCCUUUUUCUUGAUUUCAAGUGUCAUUAAAACUUAUAUUUCUAAAUAAAUUUAUUCGACGAAAGUGGCUAGAUUGGUGGGUUUGACGGCGAAGGCUUGUUGUGGGAGCAACGACAACAGUGGUUGGAGUGUGGAAUCGACGACGGCAAGUGGCAAAAAAUUGGGGGCAAGGGUUCUUCAUAACGACUCGAUAGCCCACUUCGAAUUUUUUUGAAAUUUGAGGUUUUUUCAUUUGAAAAUUUUUUUAAUGACAAAAAAAUUGACGUUAAUUAAUGACGCAAAAUUUGUGUUGAAAUAAAUUAAAUUGUGUCAAUAUGAUUGUUUUAAGAAAUAAUCCAUAUUUAUAUUUUCAACAACACAAUGUACCUCAUCCCACCUCUUUUUUCUUUUAUUUUCAACGACACAAUGUCUUGAUUAAAAUCCAUUUUUCUAGUAGUGACUGAAAAAAAAACUGGACAGAAUCAUAAUAUCUUUGAUAAUUAAAUCACCAGUUGGUUUGAACAUAUAUAAUCUUGGAUCUAUUCUAUUAUGAUAUGACCAUGGUACAUCAUGAACAUACAUUGACUAAAAAACUUAAAUUGAUGAGUGAAUGUAAUAAAUUUAAUAUUAAUUAUAUGAUCAAUACUUUACACAUGUAUAUUGGUAUAUCAGUCAAUAACAGUAGUAAGACAAAUUAUAAAAUAUAAGGGAUAAAAGUCCUACACAUGCAUGUAUGGUAUACUCUCUUGAUAGCAAAAUGCAUUUAUGUCAACUCAUGUUUGAAUGCAUUUAUGUAGGAAAUUCAAUAAAAUAAUUAAGAAACCUUGCAAUAUGUGAGAGAUAUACGAACUUCAAACAAAUUUUACAAGUUUCAGCAAAAAUUUUCAAACAACUUUUAAAGUUUAAGCAAAAAGUAACCGUAGGUAGGAAGGGGAGCAAAAGUGGGGUCUCGAAUUAAUUCUGAAAAAUUAGUAGGCUUUCAAAAUUUAGGUUCUAGAAGUAGAAUUAUUGCAGAAAAAUAAAUAAUUGCAUCAUUCAAAUUGAAUCAGACAUAUCAGGAUGUAUAUAUUCUCCACAACGUAUAAUGGAGUAUAAACAUAAAGUUUCUAUAUACAAAGCUAUGUAUCUCUACCCUUGACUUCUCUUUCUCUCUUUCUACCUUUUUUAUCCUUUCUUUCUUCCAUUCACUCAAUACACUUGCAAGAACCUUCAUUUUUUUGUAUUUAAAUUUUCUUGGCACCAUCCUUUUUUUUAAUUAUCAAGGCUUUGUUAUUGUGUACCAGUAUUGUGUCGUGCCUCCUUCACUUCUCAUCAUCAUUUUCAUGUCACAUCUCUACCUUGUCAAUUUUCGUUUUUCACUCAGCUUUCUUUCUUCUUUUGUCUUCACUACUUUCUUCGCUCCUUCUUCUCAAGCUCUAACUUUUGCUAUUAUCAACCAGUCUCAAAUGACCAUUGGAAAACCUAUAGCCCACUGAGAGGCAGCCAAUAUAGUAAUGUCUCUAAUGAUAAACUCCAAUGAAAUCAAAAGUUCUUCUUUAAGAUUUGGAAAAAUAUAUUAGAUAAACCCGGACGUGGUGAACGCGGUGAACGCAGACGCACGGACGGUGAACACGGCAGAAGUUAGAGAUCCUCAGAGAGAACUUGGCAUUUUCGAAUGCGGUAGAGACAAGUCUAGGGCUUCAAAGGAUUCAACCCAAUAUUUUCUUUAUAUAUAUAUAUAUAUAAUAUAUAUUAUAUAUAUAUAAAUAUAUUUAAUAACACUUGACGUUUUCAAAAACGUCAAGAAAAACGAUCUUACUUAACGUCUAAAAAAACAUCAAGAAAUUUAAAAAAUAACUCUCUCUGGCUUUUUAUAAAAAUUCUUGACGUUUUAAAACAUAAAGAAUUUUUAAGAUAUUUCUUGACGUUUUUAAAAUGUCAAGUAAAAGUACAUAUUACUUGACGUUUGAAAAUUUUGAAGAAUAUUGAAUAUAUAAACAUUCUUGACGUUUAAAAAUGUCAAAAUUUUUAUAGAUAUUUCUUGACGUUUUUAAAACGCCAAGAAAAAAUACAUAUUAGUUGAUGUUUAAUAAACGUCAAGAAAUCUGAAAAUUGACCUACCCGCCUUUUCGUAAAAAUUCUUGACGUUUUAUCUUUGGAACUACUCCUUUCUUGACGUUUUUUUUGAAAAAAAUGUCAAGAAAGAAAAACAACAAACGUCAAGAAAGGCCUUUUUUGUAGUAAUGACAUACAUAAAUAUAUAUAUAUACAUAUAUAUAUAUAUAUAAUGAAUUAAAAUGGUUUUGUUGCUUUACUGUUUUACUCUAUAAAGGAAGAGCAUUAUAAAUAUAUUAUUGAGGAAACAUUUUUUGAAAUGACUGGUUUUGGAAGUGUCAUUAGAUUUUUAGUUAGUUAAGCACAUUUUCCUCCCAAAUAGUAGUCGAAAUACAACUUUUUUUAAGAAGAAGAAACCGAAUCAUUCAAACUAAGAUAAUCCUAGGAUAAGAGUCAUUAUCUAUUAACAUAGAGCUAAAGUUACAAGGUUGAAGGCUAGAGGGAAGCCCGAAACAACCUAAUCUAACAAAGCUUAAAGUUAAGAGUUGGUAGUAACAUCAUAUUGGUUACAAGAUGAAUGACGCCUAGACCAAACUCCGAUCAAGUUACAUAUGUCUUCCCACAAGUAAACAAUAAACCUUGAUUUAUCCUUAAAAAUUCUAUUGUUUCUUUCUAUCCAAACAGUCCAAAGUAAGCCAGUUAUGGAGGGAGGAAUACACAUUAGAAAGCUCAGUUAUGGAUGGAGGAAUACACAACUUUUUCUCAUGGUCAUUUUCCUCGUGGGCAUUAUCUUCAUGUUUCUUCUUAUUCCGACUAAAAUACAAGCACAAAUUAUUCUUCGCCUUCGUAUAGGUUUGUUUGAAGAAGAUUAAAAAAGUCCUUAAUUUAUCUCGACACUUCCAAAACCAGAAUAUAAUACCCGUGCUACAUAAAUCCCUCUUUCCAAAUAGUCAAACAUGAACUAUCCAUGAAUAUCUUGAAUAAACAAGAGAAACCCUAACUAAACCCAAAUAGAAAAUACGCUGCAAUCUAAAAUAUACUUAAAGAAACAAAAAGAAGUUUUAAUGAUGUGGGUUUUUUACUGAUCUUCUUCAACAACAAAAUAACUCAACGCCACAGUUCAAUUUUUCCUUCCACGAAUUGGUUUUUAAAGAGUUUUCACCGCGAAUUUAUCUUUUUGGUUCAACAAGUAAACAACAUGUGAAUCCCCAAAUGCAAGGUUUUAUUAAAAAAUUAAAAUAUAAUUUUUUUAAAAAAAUUAUAAUACCUAAUUUUUUUUUAUAUAUUUAUAACCUAAUUUUCUGUCAUUGCAUACUUGAGAGAAAUAUAUUUUCAAUUAGCAUAAUAACCUUUAUAUAGUAAAUUAAAUUUGUAGAAUGAGAAAAGACCUUAGAUCCAAAAAAGUUAUUUAUUUAUUAUUGGAGUGAAUUGUCUAAUUAAUGUAGUUAAUGGAUGGUUUUGUAACCAUAAAAAUAAUGAAAAUAAUUUUCUAAAAGAAUGAAUGAAAAUUUGGAAAGUUAAAAGGUUUUAGGAAUUAAAAAAAGGGUGUAACAUUAUAAAAGACUACCAAAUAUACUGUAAGAGACAUGCAUUAAAGAAGCUAAGGCAUGCAUACUACCAAAUAUACUAUAAAUAAACCAGAAUUCUUUUUAAGAAAUUAAACAACUAAUUAAAUAUAAAGAAGAAAGAUUAGAAAAUGAAUGAUCAAACAAACUAUGACUCAUUUAUUUUUGACAGGUUCGGCCAGUAUCACCUGACAAUUCAUUUUCACCAAGAGAAUAAACAUGAGUAGCCUUGGAAUCAAGUUCCUCCGAUAAAAGCCACGGAGUUGAUGGGUUAGAGACAGAACCAGAAUUUGAGUUCAACGAUCUGGAUGGAAAAUUCUGAAACUAGCAGCAACAAGAAGUUAAGAUAACGAAUUAUUUUCAAUAUAGAAAGGCUAAUUGUAAGAAGUUGUUAAUGAAGUGUCCAAAUGCAUUAUGGUAAUAUUGGGUGCAGAUUGUUUGGAAGUUUUAUCCGUGUGCUGUGAAGCACCACAGAGUUGAAGCAUAUGAAACCAGUGUUUAUCUGACAAAAAAUAAUGUCAUGAUCAUUGCCUUUCCAUUCCAUAAAUUUAUGGAUAGCAAAAGAAAGAGAACUCUCAACACAUGAAUCACCAUAAAGACACACAUGACAACAUUAUUUUGGAUGAAGUUCUAAUAUUGCAACCAUGGAGGAAAAAUCAGCAAAUCUUAAAUAGAUGUAGUAGUCCAAAUGAUAAAAGUUUGUCUCAAGAUAAUAUUUCAGUAACUGCAGAUGCAUUGUGCUGAAUCUAACUCUUGUGUUUCACGGUAAUGAACAAGGACAAUGUGUUCAAAGGUCCUGAACAAAAAGCAGAAGCAAGUCAUAAUUAUAUAAGUAGAACACGAUAUACUGCCACUGUCUAAUUUCAUUUUUCUUUGCUUGUGGCAUGAUGGGGAUAGACCCCACUGAAACAACUGGUAGCAAGCAAUUUAACAAUUUUCUUUCAACCAUAACAUACUUAUCUAGGAGCCAAUAACCCGCGAACAAAGGUUGGGCUAUCUAGUCCGUGGCAUAGUAUACAUGUAUCCUUUCUACAUUACCAACCUGCUGAAGAGAAAGAAAAGAUUAUCAAAGCACACCUUUCCUUGGUUAUUAAGGCUGUAAAAGAAUGAAAAUUACCAUAAAUCUAAACAUAGUUAAUAUUAGACCAUUGAACAACUUAUAGAUUCAAAAGGAAAGACUCAAACCACCAAUAGACUGGUUAAUCAUUUAAAAUGAUCUCCAACAACAUGAUACGCAGUAUAUCGUGCUAGAUCCAUAAUUACCAGAUGUGGACUCCUAUGGUAAUUUCAUUGAUGAUACGCAGCUAGUAGGCAAGAUUAUGAAAUGAAGACGGUAUGUGAGACGAUUGAAAAGAUCAAGAUGAUAAAAUUAUAGGGAUUUGAAUUUAUAUCUUAAGAACACCAGAGUCAAAUGCUUAAGAUGAUUAACUGUGUUAAAUUUAACUCUAUAAUAUAUAAAUUAUUAGCAAAAACAGUAGAAAUUACUUCAAAUUUGUAGAGAGAACAUAUAAAUUAUAUUCUAGAGAAAGAGCAUCUGAAUUAUAUUCUACAGAAACACGAGCCCAUAGUAUAUGUACUGAGUAGCAAUGACAGUGAAAAAGGGAAUAGUAAGUAACUAAUCUCAUAAACCCCUUUCUCACAUCUAACCAAGUUCUUUCACAACAUGCAAAAGCAUCAAAAUAUUUAAGAAAACUUCCAAUAUUGCAUUUGGAACUCAUUGAUUGACUUCAACGUUUAAGAGUCCUAAAAGACACAGCUUACUUUCUCACCUCUCACCACUAAACCUAUGGCAACAUCUUUUUAUAAGAUAUUAAGCUAAUCUUUAGAUUGUUUACCGAAUAAUCGUCUAUUGUUUUGUAAUUGAUCCCACCAAGCGCUUACGCCACCUUGAAGUUUGAGAGCAACUAAUCGAACCUUCUUGUGUUCGGGUGUAUUGGCAUAGUCGAAAAAAAUUUCUACGUUCUUGAUCCAAUCAAGAAACUUCUCCACGUCCAUUUGACCAUUGAAGGUAGGGAGAUCCACUUUCAUACGUAUUUCUUGAUCUUCUUGAAAGUAUGGUCGAAGUCCAAGCCUUUGUUGAGGUUCUUGAUGAAUGUUCAGCAAGUUGUUCAUCGGAAGAGUCAGAAUCGUUUAAGAAAUUUCCAAGUACGUUGUUUCCAUACAAUCGAUUAUUGUUGAUGUGAAUAGGUUGAUUUCUUAGUAGUUCUUGGUUUACAACAGGGUUUAUUGGUUUUUCUUGUCUUUCUUGGUUUGCUGCAAUUGGGUUUCUUGGGGGCUGAAUUGCUUCUUCUAAAGGUUGGACAUGAAAUCGGGUAAAAAGGUUUGUUAAUUCUACUAACGAUUGCUGUAUAUUCGAUUGCCCUUUUCGAAGUUCUUCAAUAGCUUGUUCUACCAACUGCAAGCGUUGGUUGAAGGAGGCUUCCGCGUCCAUGGAUAAGAGUGGUAGGAUCCAAGUUUUUUUAGGGAAGAGUGAGCUAGGAUCACGCUCUGAUACCAAUUGAUGCAGUAAUUGCAAAGCUAGAAAUCUUUAUGUAUAAUGCCUCUUUUUUUAUGUCUUAUUAAUGAAAAUGAGAAGCUUUUUUAUAGGCUGGAGAUUACAAGAGUUGUUAAACUAACUUGGGGUUGAGUUAGUUUAACUUGGAGUUGAGUUAGUUAUAACUAACUCAAGAUACAAAAUUGGUAAUUCAAAUAACUAAUCCUAAACUAUAAAAAUGGUAAUUCAAACCCCUCCUCUAGGAUAAAACUCAAGAAACAUCAAGAAGGUAGAUGUUCUACAUCAAAGUGUAGAGAACGAUUCAAAAUCCUUGGUGAAAGGAAUGAAUGUUAACUAAUGUGUGUUUAUGUGAAAUUGUUAUGUUAUGAGUAUGUUAAGGAUAAAGAAUGGUUUAUGCGAGAUAAAAUUAUUUGAUGUUGUUUAUGCGAAAUGAUGUCUAUGAAAAGGUAUUGCGAAAAGGAUUUCAUAAAACCUUAGUCUUUUAGACAUUCUUUCAAAAAUUCAUCUUCCAAGAUGAGGUGUUUAGGCCAAGUAGAGAAGAAGGUUGAAGGAUUUGCAGCGAGAUGACCAGACGUUUUGAAAAUAGUUAAGCAUUGGUUGUUUGGUCAAAGUGUUGUAAUUAUGUAUCAAACACAUGUUAUUAAUAAACAUCUUGGUAGGUAUUUAUUAUACUAAAGUCAAAGUGUUGGACUUUAGUAUUGCAUGGACAUACAAUUUUGAAUGAAAAAUCCUUAUAAAUGGGGCCUUUGAACUCAUUUGAUGGGUUGGCUAUUAUAUUUGGGCUUUCACACCAAAUGGAAUUUCUUUUUCUUAUUUACUUAAAAAAAAAAGAAAAUUUACCACGCCCAUUUUUUUCAUCUAUUUCUCUCGUCCGGUUCUUUCAUCCAACGGGUCCCACAACUCGAUUAUGAGUCUAGAGGAUACUAAGUCAAACUUAGUGGUUGUUCGAAUAAAACGCAGCUUCAAAUGUAAGUAUUCUAAAAACCUUAUUUUUUGGUUUAGUCUCGUUAACUAAGCCCAAUUAGGGUAGAAUUUCGAUUCUUUUUCUGUUGUGCAUGUCUUAGUUCUAUCAGUAACUCCUUUCAGGGUGAUAGCUCUCAUCAGCAGACUUUCCAUUGCUGGUUUCUUCCUUAGUCAUCAUUGUAUUGUUGUUUUCCACAAUAGAUAGGGUGAGUUGCAGUUUUACAUGAAAUGCACUGCUCAACCCACACUCUUUUCUCACUAGUUCCUUAUUCUCAAUCUUCAACGCAAAUUUCAUCAUCUGGGCCAACCCAAUCGGUUCCACGGUUUCCACUUCCAUUUUUAUUCAUGGGCUAAGCCCAAUCAUCAAAGUCUCCUCUAACACUACCGUUUGAAGAAAUGCUACCAGAGCUAAAUAUCGAUCAAAUCGGUUGCGGUAUUCUUCUACAUUCAUUUCUGUUUGAUUGAGAAAAAUCUUCCAACCAAAGUUCCUUCUCGAAUUGAUCGAAACUGUACAAGCAUUCGUUCUUUCAGGUCAGCCCAAUUCUUAAAAACUUCCAACUCUUCUUGUGCUUGGUACCAAUCCAAUGCCAGAUCAUCAAAACUAAUAACGCCUGUGGUUAAUUUCUCUGAAUCGGUAAGAUCAUGUAUCUUAAAGAAGCGAUAGGCUCUAAAUGUGAGACCCAUUUCUAAUUUGAGUAAUGAAGUAAAAUUGGCUAGGUAUUAAGAAUUUGGCGUUUGAAUAAAUCAACGAAAAGGAUUAAGCGAUAAAAAAAUUUAUGGUUAAGUAUACGUUAUUGCGAUUCAGUGGGUAGUUCGCGAAGGAAGUUGUGCGACCCAUUUCUAAUUUGAGUAAGGAAGUAAAAUUCGGCUAAGAAUUAAGAAGUUGGUGUUCAAAUAAAUCCAUGGAAAGAUUAAGUGAUAAGAUCUUUUACGGUUAAGUAUACUUUUUUGCGAUAAGUGGGUAGUUCGCGAAAGAAGUUGUGCGAUAAUGUAACACCCGAACUCUAAGGUAAUUAAUUUAAUCGGACCAUUCGAUAUUUUUACUCUUAAUUUUUGUUCGACGUCAUUUUGUUGUUUUGUCUUAAAAAAAAAAGUGUUGGAAAAGUCUUUCAUAAUAAUAAUAUAUUAUUAUUAUUAUUAUUAAUUAGCAUAAAAAAAAGGAAAAGAAAAAGAAAUUAAAAUAUCUUUUUCCUCUCUCCCCUCUCUCACGCGUGCGACACCCUCUCUCCAUCUUUUUCUUCUUCUCUUUCCUGUACCCUAACCCAGCCGACCAUCAUCUUCUCCCCUUCCCUUGCCGUUCAGAUCCAUGGCCUCCGCCCACCGCCGCGUGACCCUCUGCCCAGCCCCGCCGCGUGACCUCUGUCUCCGUCGAAGCCAAGUCCAGCCGUCGUCCAUUCCUUUCCUCUCUUCUUCUCCGUUCGUGAAGCCCAGUCGCCGCGUCAGAUCGUCGAUCGAUUUUGAGGCAGCGCGCACGCCUCCUUCUAGCCGCGCGUUUCCUCUUCUUCCAGCAACGUGUUUUUUCUUCUAACCGCGAUUCACAAACCGACGUACACUCUAAUCUGUUUGCACGAUGGUUUUUGUUUAGAAUCGAUUGCCGCUGCCCCUAUUUUUACUGAGAUCCGUCGAAGUAUUGUUGGUAAGAUUGAAGUUAUGAAAUUGUAGUCGUUUUCAAAACAAUUUAAGUAUGGGUUGUGAUGUUUUCAAGGUGUUCAAACGUUACGGAUGGGUUAAUUGACUAAUUUGAUAAAUUAUUCUUGAAGGUGUGAAAGGUAACCUUGGAUCACUUAAAUUCACAACCAAUUUGUGAAUUUUGAUUUCGAUUUCGUUUGCCCUUAUUUGGAUUGUUUCGUGGACGAUAGUUGAUUAAGGGAGCUUCCCUAACUUUGAGGUAAGGGACUUUCUACUGGACUCACCUAAAGUUUUUGAGUUGUGUUGGACUGUAUGGAUGAUGAUUAAGAUGUACACGUUUGGUUGCAGACUAAAUGUUUAGUGUAUGUUGUAUUUGACUGGAAACAUAUAUAUAAAUACAUUGAUGUGUGAAUUGAUGUGGAUUGCCGAAAGUAUACAUGUGAAUGACUGAAAUUAUGCUUAUGUGUACAUGAUGAUAUUAAUAGAUUGUGCUGUAUAAAGAUUUGGAUGUGAACUAGUGAAUUUGUUUCGGUUGAAUGUGGAUUAUACUGAACUGUGGUUUGCGCUGGUAAAAAUGAGGGGUGUUGUGACUUUGUUGUUUACUUGACAGAUGUAUUAAAAUGUUAUCAACGACCUUCGAACUUAAGUGAGAUAGGUUGACUGUUAGAAUGUUGAGUGAAAGAACUUUAUAUUUUGAAGUAACUGAAAGAUGUCAUAAAUUACCGUAAAGAUGGUUAGAAUGGAUUGAGGGGAAAAAUUGUUAGUUUUAUUGGGAUGUAUGCCUUGUAGGUGUCCUACGGGAUCACCAAUUUUUAUGCGACCUUCGGAGCAUUAGACUGAUAUGUGUUUCUGCAGAACACUAGACUGAAAUGUACGUCCCUCGGGGCGUUAGACUGAAAUGUGCAUCCUACGGGAUCACAAGACUGCGACUGUACAGGGUGUCCCAAUAGAAUGUUAACAAUUUAUUUUCCCCUGACGGGACCAGUAGAGGGUCUCUUACUGGGUAUUUUUAUACUCACCCUCCUUAUGUUUAAUUUUUCAGGCAAAGGUAAUAAAGGCAGCAAACCGGCGAGGGGCAGGAAGGAAGCGUGACCGCCACAGGGGACACUUUAAAAUUUUGCUUCCGCUUAGUGAUUUAUAGUAUUAUUUGUAUUCGAACGUGAGACUGUUUAGAAAAUUUUGAAGUUUUAAAGUAUUCAAAGAUUUGAAACUUUUUAGUUUUAAAUUUUCAUGUGAAUUUUAGUAAUUUAAAACUGGGGCCCAAACAAACAAAAUAAAUUUUGUUCUUUUGAGGUUUUAAAUUUUAAUUAACCAAGGUCUUUUGUCAAAAGUUAAUGACCUCGACUUAGGUAAAAAGUUGGGUCGUUACAGAUAAGAAGCGAAAAAGUCUUUGCGUAAGUUAAGAAAUGAAAGUUUUGAGUGUUAGACUAGGAGUUUUGGGUGGUCUUCGCGAGAAGAACCAAGUGUUUCGUGGAGAAGAAGUCUACGAGGAAGCCUUGGAGUUUAAGUUCGUGAUAAGAGUUUUAUGCGAGUAAAAGUUGGUUAGUUCAGGUGGAACGUUUCUUAUAAUAAAAAUAUAAUCAAGCGAUAAGGUUAUUCACGAGAAAUGUUAAGUGGUUGAAUUUAUUCACGGUUUGGGUUAGGCGGGGAGCAAGGUUUGUAAAGAAAAUGUCAAAUCUGAUUUGACAUGGGUUAACAUGUAAGAUUAAGGAUUUGAGCAUGACUAGGUUAAAUAUUAAGGAUUUGCAUGACUAAGUUAGUAUAAGGGAUCUAUAAAAUAGGAGAAUUUAGGUAACUAAGGAGGGGAUGACGAGAGUUUUGUUGAAAUGUUAAAGUGUUGUUGGUUUAGCCACGCGAAAAGAUGGUUGUGAGAAGGACUUCUUUAGUGAAGUUUGGUGAGUGCUUUUCAGUCAAAAGAAUUUAUGUUAAGAAACUUUAUUACGAUUUCUCUUUACUGAUUUGAAAGAAGAAUUCAGAUGAGAAUGUUUCAGAAAGAUUUCUACGAAAAGUUAUGUUUUCAAGCAUUAUUUAUAAUAUUAAAGCUUGAUUUGAUGACUAUGAUUUCAAUACUAUGUUUCUUUGAGAUGAUGCUAACUUUUGUGUGCACAUAAAGAGUGAAGGCCACCAUGGAGUGUACAAACUACAUGGUAAUAAGAAGCUGACUUAUGCAUUGAAAUGAGCGUAUAAAGCUUAGCGGUAUAGCAACAAAGACGAAUUUGUAUGUUCUCAGAUGUUGAUACAGUAGUCUAAACGCGAGGUAAUGAGACCAAGCGUAGAGAACGAUUCGGGAUCCUUGACAAAAUGAAAUGAUUUUUUAAGCAUAAAGAAAGGUUUAUUCGAAAUGAAAUAAUUUUUCGGUAUAUUUAAAUGAUUUGAUAUUAUUUUUACAAAAUGAUUAUGAAAAGGUAUUGUGAAAGGUUUUCAUAAAACCUUAAAGGAUUUAAAAAAAAAGUGGACCAUUCAACUUAAUUCCCAUCCACUAUCCUCUUGUCCAACAUGAAACUUUAUCUUAGUAAAACUUCUUGAUCCACUAUUUUACAAAAAUAUUCAAAACAAUACCAUACUACACCAAAUGUGAUAUUUUGGUAACACUUAAAAUGGUCAGAAAUACCAUUUUCCUGACUUUUUUUUCAUCGACCAUUAAAGAAAAAGUAUAGAUGAUGUUUCACAAAAACUUCCAAACCAUUGUGUUAGUUAUCGUUUUGGAUGAGGGUUGGGGUAGAGCAUCAAUACUCAAAGGUUGUUAAGAAUUAAGACCUAAGACUUGAAAACGAAACCGCCUGCCUGGUUGACAACAACACCAUCCCACUAGAGUGCACAAUGAUGAUUUAUUGCAUUAAGAAGAAGAUGGCAGUUAACCUUAGCGCCAUAAUCAGAACCUCAAUCCUCCCUUUGAUGAAAGCACCUAAAGGUGUCAUGCCUUUCCCCUCUACCACAUUGAAGCUCUUUGUCUAACACUACAAGAAAUGAGGACUCUCUCGAUGCAUAAAAUCAUUGGGAGAUAUAUAAAAAGCGUCAGAAAAGGCUUUUCUGACGCACUAAUAUACGUCGGAACACAAGUGAGGAAAAUGUAUCGGGAGAGGAACUCCGAUGCACAAUGUUGUGCGUUGAGGGUUUCUAGACAUCUUCCGACGUUGUAUGAACGUCGAAGAUGUUGUCAAUAUAGCAUCGAGAGAUGUCUAGGAACCAUGCGUCGGGAGAUCCUCUAUUUUUUUUUAAAAAAAAUAACUUCAUUUAAUUCCUAAAUUCAAAUUGAAAAUUUUAAAUUCAAACUCAACUUCAACACUUCAACCUCAACUUCAACACUUCAAUCUCAACUUCAACACUUCAAAUUCAAAUUUCUAAAACCUACAACUAAUUCAAAAUUCUAACAACACUUGAAAUUAAAUUUCAUUACUAAAACUUACAACUAAUUCAAAAUCUAAAUACUAAAGAAAUCUAAAAUCUAACACCUAAAACAAAUUUGAAAUCUAAAUACUAAAACUAAUUAACUAAAACAAAACAAUAACUAAACUAAACCACUUACCGAUGGCGACGACGACGGGACGACAACAGGGACGACAAUGGUGAUGACAAUGCCCUCUUCUUCUCAAUCUUCCUCUCGGUCUCCCUCUCCCUCUCUCAUUUUCUUUCUCUUUAUGUUUCCUUUAUGUAAAGAAUGGAGUUAAAAAAGACAGAGAACUCCUGACGCACGACGAAAACGUCGGGAAUAGCACCCUAUUCAUGACCUGAUUUGUUAAACGUCAGAAAUCCCUAAACAUAUUCCCACGCGAUUAAUGAUACGUCGGGAAUCCCUAAAUCUAUUCUCAACGUUGCUGCCACACGUAAGAGGAAGGCGUUACAUACAAUUAAUGAUCUGCCCUUCCUCCGACGGUUCCUAAGCUUUUAGCUUUUCUGCAAUCACCCCUUAUGCAUGUUCUCAGGCGAAUCUCAACCAAACCAUAACACUCCAUCAAAAUAAAGAAGAAGAGAGACACCUCAAAACCUUAAAUAAAGUUAAGGGAGAAGAAUGGAAUGACAGAGAAGAAGAAGAGGCUUCUCCGCUGCCACCACUACUCAAGAGGAGAAAUGUCCACGAUGACGCGUCUAACUCGUAUAAAAAGGAAAAAAGUCGAAAGCUAGACGUGGCCAUCGACCCUAAACCUCUUGCAAUCUGACCCCUAACUCUCUCAUUGCCUCCUCCAAAAUCCAAAUCCUUCAAUUCCAGUCCUCAUCCAAAAAUUGAAACUCCCCCUCAUCAAUCUUACCCAAGUCCUCUCGCAUGUCUAUUAUCCUCUCACCACCAAAUCCCCCAUCAUUAUAACAACAUCCUUCACCUCACGACCUGACCGAACAAGCCCUUACCCGAUCAAAAGGGCAUUGUUAGCGAAGAAGAAUUCCUUAGGGUUGAGGAGGAAGACCUGCAUCACAUUCCUCUCCCUCCGCACACUACUAUACGUAAUUCCAAGGAGGAAGACUUACAUCUCGCGUGUAAACACCGAUACCCAAUAAUCCUUAAUUCAUCUAAAGAACUCAAUAGGACAUUAGGGGUUGAUGUUAGGAGAAAGAUGGUUUAAGAUUGGAUAGUUUAGUUGAAGUGUUAUGGAAGAUGUGUUAAUAUUUUUAAGAUGAUAAAAGAAAAGUGUCAUCGUAACAAAGAAAGGCCUAAAGGGUGUUCGAAAAUUGGCUAAGUGUUGGCUAGGGCAUGUUGCAUACUCUAGGCGGCCAAAAGUGUCAAGCGAACCUCUAAAGAGACAUGUUGGGUGGCCAAAGGUUGAGAUGUGGUAUGGCCGAAAGGUGUCAAGACAACCUCUAUAAGACAAGGCUAUAUGACCAAGGGUAUGCGCUAGGCAAGGAAGCUAAGCAUCUAGGAAAUGUCAAGAAACUCUAAAGAAGUUAGAACGUGGAUAAGGAAUGUCAUGCAACAAAGAGGUGGGCUAUGUGGACAUAGGUCAUGCGGCCAAUGGGGCAAUUCAACCAAAUGCUAGUCAAGAUGGCAUGGUUUGUUGAAGGCAUUGAGGGAUGUUUGGGAGAUUAGGCGAGAAAAAAAAGUCUUAGGCAUUCUUGGCAGUAAGAAUUUACUAAAGAACCCUCAUAGAAAAAGGGAUAUGCGUCCAAGGAUGACUUAAGCAAUAUGAGGUAAGAUGUGCGGUAGAGUACAAGUGGACAACAUACAAGAUACCUAAGUUUUGCCAAAUAAGUGUCUUGCAUGAGUUGGAAAGUGGCAAGUAUGGGCGUAAGAGGUGAGAAAAAAAGGUUCAACCAAAGAGCAUGCAAGGAUCACUAUAUGUACAACUUUGGACGAAUUAUGUUAACAAUCAACUUGUGUUAAUUGGGUAACUCUACUUCGAAAAUCUCCUAAAUUGAGUGUAGUAUCAAGAGAAAGGCUACCAAGAAGAAAGGCAUUGAAGUGAAGAAAGACUCAAAGGUCAUUUUCAAAAAAAAAAAAAAAAAAACUUGAACAAUGUAGAGUAUUUUGAGCUACAUAACUCAAUACUUGGAAUUUGUUAGUGACACUUUGUGGUAAGCUAGUGAAGACAUUCUAAGUAAGUUUGUAGAAGGAAUCUUAUUGAUUUAAGCUUCAAAGUCGAGUUAAGUUUCUGGUAGAAAAAUCAUAUUUCUAGACAAGGCCAUGGGUGGGUUGAUUGCCAGGAUGACAAGGUGAGAUGAGCGUGUGUUUUGAGCGAAAGAGGUUAUUUAGGCUUGGGACAUGCAAGAAGCAUGUCCUGGCAUGAUCAAGCAGCCUGAGCCACGCGUCAUUACACACUCUAUUAUGAAAGUUGAGUAUAUUGCUACUUGUGAAGCAGCAAAAGAAGCAGUUUUGGUGAGGAAGUUCUUGCAUAAUUUGGAAGUUGUUCCAAACAUGAACAUGCCCCAUCACUUUAUAUUGUGAUAAUAGUGGGGCAUAUUACUAAUCCAUUUACAAAGACUCUCAUGGCUAAAGUGUUCGAGGGUCUUCUAGAAAGUCUAGAUCUGCGAGUUAUGUACAUUAGGUAAUCUAGGAAAAGUGGCAGAUGUGUAAUGGGUAUGAGGAUGCCCUAGUUUAUUGUAUUUGUAUAUACACAUUUUAUGUAAUACACUUGUACAUUUUACCAUUUUCAAUGUUAGAGGAUUACUUUAUUAUGAACAUCCCAAAGAGACGAGAGUUUUAGUCCAAGUGGGAGUUUGUUGGAAUUUAUGUCCUAAAACUCGUAGAUUGUAAAUAUAAUCCAUUGACCAUUGUUAAUAAAGUGUUAUUAUUGUAAUAAUUGUUAUUGAUUAUAUUAUUAGUUUUGUCUUAAUAACUCAAAUCCAAUAAACUAACAUCCUAAACUGUUUAAUAAGUAUUGAAUAGUAUGUAGAGACAUACAGGGAUCAAUGUUCGAGAUCAGCUUAAAGGGUCUAUAGUAUACGGAUAAGACUGGGUACCUUUAUCCUGGUAACAUUAUGAAUACGACUCACUUUGUAUUUGAUACAAAUACAAUGAUCCAAUGUGUUCAUGUAGUUGACAUGCGAGUGAAGGUAUCCUAUGCAAUGAGAUUGCAAUAGACUAGACUGUGAAAUAGUAACCACUUGGUGUUACUACAUUAACUAGUUAGGUUUCUAUUUCACUAGGAUGACCUAGAUAACUUAGUCUUAAUCUUGAGUGUAUUAUGAACUCAAUGAUCUUGGAUGAAUUUGACUUCAAAUACAAACUUGGAUUCCACAACCUAAACCAAAAUAAAAUAAUAUAUCAUGUUAAGAUGGAUUCACAUAGCAACAUUUUAUCAAAUGGUUGCAAUGUUUCAAAUAAGCAACAAUUAAAAUUCACAUAUCGAUUUGGCAUCUAUAAAUAUACAAACUAAAAAGUACCUAAAUGUCAAUUAUUUACCCAAUAAGGCUAACUAAGUAACCAACGUCUAAUAUGUUUUGCAAUGAAAAAGGUUGCCAUAUUGUUAAUUUGGCCAUAUUGUGAAGGCAACCUCUUAGAUGUGUUUGUGAGAAAGGAAAGAAAUACCAAAAUAAGUAUGGACUAAGAUAGUAUCAAAUAAAGUUAAAGUUGAAUUUUAAAGCUCUAUUUUUUUCAAGAUAGAGAAAUUUCAGCUAAAGAGGAAAACACUAAGGACAACCAAGCAAAAAAGUCUAACAAAUAUCAAAAGAGAACAUGCAGGAAAGAAAGAAUGUAAAUAAGGUUUUAUCCGCACCAAGCAAAAAAGUCUAACAAGUAUCAAAAGCUUCAUAAGUUGUACUAGAAUUCAAAGCUCUAAACUCUAAAGAAUGUAAAUUUCUUUGAAGAAAUUUGUGUAUAAAGGUCACACAGUUGAAAAUUCAAUACCUUUUCAAGAAUGUUGUUGAGAAGAUUAUUGUGAUGAAUCUUUGAAUCCAAAUUAUGGAGACAAGAUAAAUAAAUGAGUUCUGAUUCUAACUGACUGAAUGAGAGUUUAGAAAAUAAGAACAUUGGAGUUGAAUUAUCAGCAUUUAUUUUAAUCAAACUUACGAUAGCAAACCAAAUUAUAGAGAGAGAUCAAAUGCUAGGAUAAAGGAAUAAUCUUACAUUUGGUGAGUUCCCAAAUGUUGUGGUAGUCACGAGAGUUAUUCCACUCGAAUUGUCUUAGACAAGAGGCUUCCAUUCAGCAAGUACUGGUGAGAAUUAAAGUGGAAUGACAAACUUAAAAACACCUAAUCUUUAACAAACUUUUCCGACUUUUUGCAAUUAUUUUUUAACACAAGAUAUCAAAACACACUUAAAAACCAUAACAACCAAUUACCAUAAAACGGUGUCCAAUAACAAUAAUUGGGUCAACCCAAACAUCAUCAAAUUCUUGGGAAAGGUUGUGGACUAGACCUUCACCAUCUUGCCCCUAAAACAAGUUAAAGCUUAAGGAAAGAACACAGUAGAAACAAAAAUCAUAAACUCAUCAGUUAGAUAGUAUUGGUGGUCAAAACCUCAAGGUCUCACUUCUUCCAUUUUAUAUUACCAAAUUUGAAAAUGAUUUUUAAUAUAUGAUCAUUACUUGAAACAUGUUGGUGUACAAGUGUGAAUGAAACUAAAUCAAGUUUGUGUUUUAUGUUAUUGUUUUUGACAGUAUAUUUAUGUGCUAUGCAAUCCAUGAGAGUAUAUUUAUGUGCUAUGCAAUCCAGAAGGGGGAAUGCAAGCUAUACCCAAUUCAUAAUUGUAUUUGGAACACUAAUGAUUUUAGCACAAAUUCCAUCUUUCCAUUCUCUAAGACAUAUAAACCUUAUCUCCCUCACUCUAUACCUUGGCUAUAGUGCUCUUGCAACAUAUUAAAAUUCUCGUAAUUAAAAAUUCAUACACAAUUUAAAUUAAAUUAAACAUCAAGACCCCUGACGAAGAUGAAUCUCUGUUCAUUUUUCUUUUUAUUAACAAACAAAAGUUUUUAGGUCAACUUCUUUCAACAACCUCCUCAAGGAUCCUUAAUUAUCUCUUUCCAAGUUCAUAACCACUCUAGUCAUGCAAAGAUUAAGGUUCAUGGCCAAUCAACAAUUAAUCUGUGAUUAAGAUAUUAUGAACGCUAUUCACAUAAAAACAUGAAAAGAUUAAGAGCAAAUAAUCAGAUGCAUUACAAAGAAUAAUUCAUAAACUUUGUCUACAUCUAUCCCUAGGAUUAAGAGUUUAGCUACCCCAUACUUCACAAUCUAAAACACAAAACUCAAUACAAUACCCAUAAAAAAAAUUAAAGGAGAAGAAAAAGAAAACGAAGAAGAAAAGCUAGUGAUUCGUAUUAUUAUAAUACUGUGUAUAACAGUAUGUGUUUUUUAAUAUUCUCUGUUUCCAGCUCCAAUGUACCAAAAUAUUAUCACAAACUCCACAAUCCUUCUCUUUCCAAUCCCUAAACUAACCAAUGAAUCAUAUUCGCACGCUUGGUAGCCUUGUUCAAAAUAUUAUAUAUUACAAUUAUAAUAACUUGUAUCCCCCCUUUUCAAGCCUAAAAUGCAAAACCUUUCUUCCAUUCUCUAAGGCAUAUUUCCUCUUCUUUAAUUUUGCAUUCCAAUUUUAAAUUACAAAUUACAAAUUUUAAUCACAAAGGAAAAAAGGAAAAUUAUUACCUUUAGAAAGGGAAGAAAAUAAAUGAGUAACCAUGAAGGAUUUGGAAACGAAUAGAGGUUUAGCGAAAGUGGAAUGCGACAGAAGGACGGUGAAUGUGUUUACUCGUUUUCGAACAGAGAAUGUGUUUACGCAUUCCGAACGGUGAACAGACGGACGCAAAUCAACGAAGGUGAAGGGAACGCAAAGCAGACGGACGGUGACGGACGAUGAACGCAAAUGAAUGAAGGUGAAUGCUUAUGAACGCGAAGGGAAGUCUUUUCCGGCGAUGAACGCAGAUGAAUGCACAGAUGAACGCGAAGGGAAGGUUAGGUGAACGACGCUUUUGAUUUCGGGUGGAGAAGGGACAAAGUCGCGGCGAAUUAGGUUUAAUUAAGAAAAGGGGAAGUGAUCUAAUUGAAACGUUGGGUUUUGUAAAAGAAUAUUAACACAAUAAUUUUUUAGAAAUUUCUUGACGUUUUUAAAACGUCAAAAACAAAUUAAAAUUUCUUGAACUUUUUAAAACAUCAAUGAUUUUUUAGAAUUAUCUUGACGUUUUAAAAACGUCAAGAAUUUUUUAUAAAUUUCUUGACGUUUUUAAAAAUGUCAAGAACUUUUUAGAAUUAUCUCGACAUUUUAAAAACGUUAAGAAUUUUUAUAAAUUUCUUGAUGUUUUUAAAACGUCGAGGAAAACUAUAUAUUAUUGACGUUUAAAAAACAUCAAGAAAGUUGAAUUCAUAAACAUUCUUGACGUUUUUUAAACGUCAAAAAUUAUUAGAUAUUUCUUGAUGUUUAAAAAACGUCAAGAAAAAGUACAUCUUACUUGACGUUUAAUUGCAUAAAAAACGUCAAGAAAAAACGUCAAGAAAGUUGAAAAUUGGCCUUUCAUAAAAAUUCUUGACGCUUUUUUAUUUGAAAUCACAUCUUUCUUGACGUUUUUGGGAAAAAACGUCAAGAAAGGAAAACUACAACCGUCAAGAGAGCCUGUUUUUGUAGUAGUGAUUUUGGGGACAAGACUGAGUGGGGAGUUGGGAUUAUAAUUGCACAAAAUGGAAUUCACUCAUUUCCUACUGUAGGAUAAGUAGAUGAAUGUUAGCUUAAAUGGUGUCUCCAAAACUUAAACAAAGGGCCCGUACUCUCUCUAUGACAUGAGAGGGGUUUUUGUUUAUUAGUAGGACCAUAAACAAGUUGUUCAUUAGAGGAGCACUAGUUUUUAAGGAUUAGAGGUAACAUAGGGGUAAAGCGGUAAAUUGAUCCAACUGGUGUUACAAACACUCGUGAAGGACUAACUUACUAUUAUUGGUCUAUAUCCGUGGACACAGAAAUAUAUUUUUAGUGAGAAGAGUUCAGUUGUGAGUCUUUAGUGGAGUGUACACACAACUAACGAAUAUUGAUUAAUGUGGUUAAUGAGUUUAGCCAAUUAAUCUUAGAUCGUUGUAGCUUCUGAUCUGUAGGUCCACUAGGUCCCUUUCCUAGCUCGUAAAGGGUAAUGAGAUUUAUUUGUAUUAGUUGUAAUUUAAAAUGUUUAAAUUUAACUUGGGAAUUAGUAUAAUGUAUAGUGAUACAUUAUAAUAUAAAGUUUAUCAAACUUUACUAUAUAAAUUUAACUUUGGGGAUGAUUUAAAAUUAAUUUAUGAGAGAUAAAAUAUUUGAAUGAGUUCAAAUAUUAAUUUAAUGUAAAUUGGAUUCAUAUUAAAAUUAUUGAGAGAAACUUAUAUUUGAAUAUGAUUCAAAAUUAAUUUAAGUUAAAUAUAAGAUAAAUAAUUUAAUGUUAUUAGUUAAUUGGAGAAUUAAUUAAUAGUUUAGUUUAAUAUUAUUUAAUUAAAUGUGAUUUCAUUAAUUAUUAACUAAUUGAUUAAUGUUUAAUUAAUCAGUAGAUUUGAAAUAUAUAUUAAUUUAAUUGUUUGUAAAUUAAUAGAAUCUCAUAGUUCUCUUCUACUUCAUUUUUUAUUCCUAGAAGGAAAGAGAGUUAUAAUAUCUAGAAGAAAACAAUUUUCUUAAAAAAUGAAUAUAAUAAAAAAAGAAAAAAUAAGGCUAACGCUAUUGCUCUUUGCAAAAAGAAAAGAGUUUCUCUCAAUAUCUCUAAACUUUUUCCCAUCCCAAUUGGUUCCACAAACCAAUCUUAUCACAGAGGUACUCUUUGCAAUUUAAGCUCUCUUUGCAAUGGACAGUCUUCAAAGUUUUUUUAACGAUGUUUCUAAUGCUUUCCUUUCUCUCUCAUGUUUAAUAAAACAAAUUUCUCUUAAAACCUGUAGGGAGGCUACAUCGUAUCGAAUUUCAUACAACUGACGUGUUCAUCGAGUUACAACAAGUGCCGCACAAUAGUCUGUUCCAUGUUUGAAAAGUUGUGAGUGUGACACGCUGCACAUGAGGUUAGAACGAGACAUGGCAAGGCAAGCUCUACGCGCACCUGCCAACUUCUGCCACAAUAUUUUGUACGCAAGCUAAUGUCUUUGGGCUGUUUUUAUGGUAUUUGGAAAUUUUAAGCAAAGUUUUGAUAUUUUUAUGAUCAACAGGAAUUAAAUGGAAUUAUUUCCCAUUAUUUUCAUUAUUUUAGAUCAGAAGGAGAUCGAACAAAUUUAUAAGCCAAGGGUCCAAGCUACUCUCUAUAAGUGACAAAAAUGAGUUUAAAGUUGAUUUCUAAACAUGAAUUUACUAUCAAAUGUUUCAAGCAUGCUUUGAUGUUUGAAUAUUUGAGGAUACUGACUUAUAAAGUAUUUCCAAAGCAUGAAUUUAGAAACAUUUUGGUAAUGAAAAUUAUAAGCAAUCAUGAUUGUGCUAAGUUAUCAAAAUGUUUAAGCUUGAAAAUAAUAUUAGCAUGUUUUAGUCUAUACCUAAAAUAUUCUAAGAUAUAUAGCAACCCUUCGGGAGAGAUUUUCUUGUGCAUAGAGGUCAUUUGAUUUGGAUAUUCAGUAAAUACCUAGCUUUCCAUCAUUGGUAUUAGAUAAGAGAUGAAGACUUCUAAAGAUGCUUAGUUUCCCAUCUCAAGGGACGAGACCCUGUACGAAUGCCUAGUUUCCAUCUCAUUGUAGUUAUAACGAGAUAGGGCACAAUUGAUGCCUAGAGUUUCAUCUCGUAAGUAUCGUAUCACGGGAUAGGGCUUCUAUGCCUAGUUUAUUGUUUUUCGUCUUGACGAUUCUAGUAUAGCAACUGAAAGGGAAAGUUUGAGAUAAGUUGUUUGAGUUUGAUUUCAUUUAUGUUAAGAGUUAAUUGUUAAAUACUUAUUAUUUCAAACAAUGUUUUAUAAAACAAUCACUCAUUGGGCUAUUUAGCUCACUCUUUGGAUAAAUAUCCCCAUAUGGAUUACGUUGUUUGGAAAAUUAAACUGUCUUUAGUACUUCAAAGAAAACUUCCCUCCCAUGUCCUCUCACCUCAUGUCAUCCCAUUUGUGUUGAUAACAUGAAAAAUAUUUAGCACCUUUUAAUUGAUUAUGUCUUUGUAUCGAAAUGUUGGUUCCGUCUUCUCCAAACAUUCAAUAUUUGUUGGGAUUUUUUGCUCAAUCAAGGCUUAUUCUUGUUUGUUCUCGACCUGCUACCUAUGAUUUAUGAUUUUGUUUUGGACAUAUUAUUUUAUCAUUUUGUUUGGUUUUAUAUUUGUGGCUUUUUUUUUGUUUUGUUUUGUGUUUUGUUUUUUUUUUUUUUUGAAAAGGAGACAACCUCUUUAUUAAUAUUAAAAUAAUAAAAUAAUUAGACAAAAGCUCAUGGUACAAGAGAGUUAUACAAUGAACAUGUAACCAUGGAUCAGAGGGUGCACCUUGGCAUCUCAACUAGGUUGACACCCCCAUAGCACCCUCAUCAUAUCCAACCAAGCUAAAACCCAUAACAAAGGAGUAAUGUCCAAAGGCAAAACAAACACAAAAAAAGCCUUCUAUUUGUGGCUUUUGUUUUGAUCUUGUGUUGUCGCUUUUUGGAUGUGAUGAGGGCGCUAAGGGGGUGUCAACACUCAAACCUUAUGACGUAACAAAUGCAAAUUUUAUGACGUUUUUAGGGGUAGUCCCUCCCAUUACUAGCUCAACACUCAAACGGAGUCUCCUGUAUAAAAUAUAAAAUAAUACAGACACAAAUAGUGAAUGAAAUCUUAUGACGUAACAAAUGCAAAUUUUAUGUAUACUGCAAUUGACUAAAUAUUGAACAAGAAAGCCCAAGGGAAUACAAAAAAAUCCAACGUUUUUAGGGGUCAAUUUGAAAAAUGGCAAAAUUACUUUUUCUUUUCAAUUUUAGCAAACAACAUUUUUUGCACGUGCAUGGUAUUUUAUAAAAUACCAGAAUAUCAACAUUCUUCAACUGUAGUUAUUUCGUUUCUACAUUGUAAUUAAUUUAUGUUAUGCAUUUAUCAGUUUUUAAUUAUCUUUUACUUGAAAUAGAUACAUCAACUCAUAUCAUAAUAUUUUUCUUAAUAUCUCGAGUCUCAACUAAUUAAUUCACAUAUUAAUAACUUUAUUCAAUCAUACUAAUUUCAAAAUAACCUAAUUGAAUUUGAAUUUCAAAAUAACAAAAUUAUUAUUUUUCGGAAUUUGAGAGUCUCAACGAUAGAUUUUGUAUUAAAAUAACCUUAAUUGAAUUUCAAAAAUAAAAAAUAUCAACAUGUUCACUAUCUUUAUCUCAAAAUAACAUUAAUGCCUUGAAUAUCAAGAUAAUUAAAUUAUUAUUUAAAAUUGGAAGAAACUCAACAUUAAAAAAUAUUAACUUGUUCGCACACAAGCAUAGAAGCACUGCGCACACACGUACACAUGCACACUUACACACACGCGCACACACGCACAUCUACACACAGACACCCACAGACACACGAACGCAUGCACAUACACAUGCACACGCGCACGCAUGCACAUACACAUGCACACGAGCACGCAUGCACACGCACACACCUAUCCACACGCGCGCACAAGCACACACACAUGCACAAACGCACACACGCGUACGCACAAACGCACACACUUAUACACAUACGCACACGCGCACAAACACGCACGCACGAGCACACACACACCUAAGCACACACGCAAUAGCCUGCGCACACACACGCACGCACAAACACAUACAAACAUGCACACACCCACACAUAUAUGCACACGGACACUCGCAACAAACGCACGCACAUACACAUACGCACACCUACCUACACGCACACACGUACACACGCACAUAUGCAUAAAGAUGUAUAAAUGAGUUAAAAUUAAAAAAAAACUACAUUAAUUGUGUUUAGAAGGACUUUUAAACCAUGUUCAUUUGACUUAAUAACAUUAAUUAAACUAUAAUUUCUAUCAAUAUUGGCUUAAAAAGUGUCAUUCGUGUAAUUAUUUCAAUAUAAUGCGAUUUUAUCCAAUUCUAUUUGCAACAAACAGGUCGAAUAUGAACCAGUAGAUAUACAUGUCAUAAGAGAUAUAGGAACAUUUUUAUGGUCAUUUUGAAAAAUGCAAAACUUUUUGUAACGACCCAACUUUUCUAGGUAAGUCGAGGUCAUUAAUUUUUAAUAAAAGACUUUGUUGAUACAAAAUGAAGCGUAAGUCAAUUUAAAAAAAAAUAUGUCAGGCCUGAUUUUCAAAUAUCAAGAAAACUUAAAAAUAACACUAUUUACAAAUAAAAGUUUGUAAACUAAGUUUUUAGUACAUCUUAAACCUUAAAAGAAACAUAAGCGGAAGCAAAAUACACAUUUCCUAUGGCAAUCACGCUUCCUUCCUGCCCCUCGCCGGUUUGCCACCUUUAUUUCCUUUGCCUGAAAAUUAAACAUAAGAAGGGUGAGUAUUUUAAAUACUCAGUAAGAGACCCUAUACUGGUCUCGUCAGGGAAAAUAAAUUGUUAAAGUUCUAUUGGGACACCCUGUACAGUCGCAGUCUUGUGAUCCCGUAGGAUACACAUUCAGUCUAACGCCCCGAAGGACGUACAUAUCAGUCUGACGCCCCGAGGGACGUACAUAUCAGUCUAACGCCCCGAGGGACGUACAUAUCAGUCUAACGCCCCGAGGGACGUACAUAUCAGUCAAGUGUUCUGCAGAAACACAUAUCAGUCAAAUACUCCCGAAGGUGCAAAAUAAAUUGGUGAUCCCGUGGGACACCUACAAGGUAAACAUCCCAAUACAACCUAACAAUUUAUCCCCUCAUUCCAUUCAACCCAUCUUUCAGUUACUUCAAAUCACAAAGUCCUUUCUUUCAACAUCCUAACAGUCAACUUAUUUUACUACAGUCAUAUGUCUGUCAAUAAUAUGCUAAUACAUCAGUCAAUCACUAUACAGUCAAGUCAAUACACCCCUCAGUUCACCAGCACAAACCACAGUUCAGUAUAAUCCACAUCCAACUGAAACAAAUUCACUAGUUCACAUCCAAUCUUUAUACAGCACAAUCUAUUAAUAUCAUCAUGUACACAGAAGCAUAAUUUCAGUCAUUCACAUGUAUACUUUCGGCAAUCCACAUCAAUUCACACAUCAAUGUAUAUAUAUAUGUUUCCAGUCAAAUACAACAUACACUAAACAUUUAGUCUGCAAUCAAACAUGUACAUCUUAAUCAUCAUCCAUACAGUCCAACACAACUCAAAAACUUUAGGUAAGUCCAGUAGAAAAUCCCUUACCUCACUUUUAUGCAAGUUCUUCAAUCUACUAAAUCCAAUGAAUCAAAUCCUAAACAUAAUCAAUCAUAAAAUCAACAUCUUUCUAAAUAGUUUCAACCAUUCAAAUUACCCCAUAUGUAAAUUCCACAACUUACCCAAGAAGUGGAAAAUCAAGUCCACUUCAACCUUUUGGAAAAUCAAGGAUUCGCUCACUGAAUCAAGAUGUACCUUCAAGAAUUAAGCAUUUCGCCAACAAUUAAAUCCAAUGGCAGCAUCCAACAAAAACCAAGAAACCAACAAAAACCAUAACUUGUUCUUACCCAAAUAUGAGCCCAAUGGUUCACGGCGAGGCAGAUCUGGACGACGAUUUGCUUUGCGAGGGAGGCACGACGGUUGUGAGCGAGAGGCACGACGGUUACAGGCGGAUGGGCGCGACGGUUUAGAUCUGAAGAAGAAAAGAGAGGGUGGCGGUUGGGUUCGGCGAGCGGCGGCGGUUUUGCUUCGCGAACGGAGAUGGAGACGGCAAUUCGGCGCGCGGGACGACUGCAACGCAAAUCUGGACUGGCAGCGGCACGGUCUUGCUUCGCGGCUGGGUAUGGUGAAAAAGAAAGAGAAACGGAAGAAGAGAAGUCUCGGGUGGCGGUUGCUGGGCUACGGCGGUUGCUGGGCUGCGGCGGAAGGAGAAAAUGGAAGGAAGAGAUCGGCGGAAAGAAGGAGAAGAUGGAUGGGAGUCACGAUCGCACGGGAAGAAGAAGGGAGAAAAGAAAAGAAAAGAAAAGAAGAAAAGAAAAAUAAUAAAGAAAUUUUUAAUAUAAAGUAAAAUAAAAAUAUAUAUAUAUAUAUAUAUAUAUAUAUUACCUUUUUGGGCAUUACAUUCUUCCCUCCUUAAGAAACUUUCGUCCUCGAAAGUUCUAAUCCUGAAAUAACUCUGGAUAACGAGUCCUCAUUUCUUCCUCUCGCUCCCAUGUCGCCUCUUCAAUUCGAUGAUUCCGCCACAAAACCUUUACUAAUGGAAUGCUUCUAUUACGAAGCAUCUUUACCUCUCUAGCCAAAAUCUCCACAGGUUGUUCAACAUAGCUCAAAUGCUCGUCAAUCUCCAAGGUUCAUAGUCCACUACAUGAGAUGUAUCGGCCACAUACUUCCUCAACAUCGAAACAUGGAAAACAUUAUGAACUGCAGAGAGAGAUGGUGGUAAUGCCAAGCGAUACGCCACAACACCAACCCUCUCUAAGAUCUCAAAUGGUCCAACAAAACGAGGACUUAACUUUCCCUUCUCAAAACGCAUAACACCCUUCAUAGGUGCUACCUUCAAGAAUACCUUUUCUCCCACAUCGAACUUAAGGUCUUUUCGCCGUACAUCUGCAUAACUCUUCUGUCUACUCUGCGCUGUUUGCAUACGCGUCCUAAUCGUUUGAAUAGCCUCAUUAGUAGACCGAACUAAUUCAGGUCCCAUCAAUCUAUGUUCACCAACCUCACUCCAACAAACAGGGGUUCUACAACAUUUGCCAUACAAAGCCUCAAAUGGUGCCAUACCGAUGGUAGCCUGGAAACUGUUGUUAUAAGCAAACUCCAUCAAAUGUAGAUGAGAGUCCCAACUACCUGGAAACUCUAUAACACAAGCUCGUAGCAUAUCCUCUAAAACUUGGUUCAAACGUUCAGUUUGACCAUCAGUCUGUGGAUGAAAGGCUGUACUGAAAUCCAAUCUCGUACCCAUAGCAGUCUGAAGUCCCUUCCAAAACUUGGAAGUAAACCGUGCAUCCCUAUCAGAAACAAUCGAUACAGGCACUCCAUGCAGUCUCACAAUCUCAGUUAAAUACAACUCUGCCCACUUACUAGCAGUAUAAGUGGAUUUUCCUGGUACAAAAUGUGCCGAUUUCGUAAGCCUGUCUAUGACAACCAGAAUCACUGUGAAACCCUUCAGGGUCUUAGGCAGCCCUGAAAUAAAAUCCAUCGACACAUUCUCCCACUUCCACUCUGGCACACUUAAGGUUGUAAUAAACCUGCUGGUUUCUGUCUAGGUGCCUUAACUUGCUGACAUACUAGACACUUACUAACAAAUUCCGCCACUUCCCUUUUCAUAUUCCGCCACCAAUAAAAUCGUUUUAGAUCCUGAUACAUUUUCGUGCUACCAGGAUGCAUGGAAAAUGGGGAAUUAUGGGCUUCAUCUAGUAAGUCAAUCUUAACUGUACUGUUCGCUGGCACACAUAAACGUCUCUCAAACAUCAACCCACCAUCAGAGGAUAUGGAGAACUCAUCAGUCUGCCCUGUUUCAACAAGGCGACGUCUCUCCAUCAAAUAAGGAUCAUUACUCUGAGCAUCAACAAUCUUGUGCCUCAGAGUCGGUUGCACCGUUAAUUGAGCUAGCUGUGAGGUGACUCUCCCCACAGACACUGCAAUCUCAGCUCUCUCCAAGUCUCGAUGCAAUGGUACCUGUCUAGUAAUGAGUGCUGCCGAAUGUGAUACUUUUCUACUAAGAGCAUCAGCCACCACAUUCGCCUUACCAGGAUGGUAUAAUAUCUCACAGUCAUAAUCUUUUACCAACUCGAGCCACCUUCGCUGUCUCAUAUUCAACUCCUUCUGAGUGAAGAAGUACUUUAGGCUCUUAUGGUCAGUAAAGAUUUGUAUCUUUUCACCGUACAAGUAAUGUCUCCAUAUCUUCAAUGCAAAAACCACUGCUGCCAACUCCAAAUCAUGUGUGGGGUAGUUCUGCUCGUGACUCUUCAACUGACGAGAGGCAUAAGCAACCACCUUACCUUUCUGCAUCAAAACACAACCCAGUCCUUUCUUGGAAGCAUCACUGUAAAUCACAAAACUUCCAGAUCCAUCUGGUACAGUAAGGACCGGUGCAGUAACUAACCUUUGCUUUAAGUUCUGAAAACUAUCCUCACAAGCUGGACUCCAAACAAACGGAGUUCCCUUCCUUGUCAACUGAGUCAAAGGAGUAGCCAAACGUGAAAAAUCCUCCACAAACCUCCGGUAAUACCCUGCUAAACCCAGAAAACUACGAACCUCACUAACUGUGAGGGUCGAGACCAACUGGUAACCGCUUCUAUCUUUGCAGGGUCUACUGAAACUCCCUCACUGGAAACCACAUGACCAAGAAAAGCCACCUGCUUCAACCAAAAUUCGCACUUAGAACUUAGCAUACAGUUUAUUGACUCGAAGAGUCUCUAACACCUUAUGUAAGUGUUCCUCAUGUUCGGCUUCAGUCUUGGAAUAAACCAAAAUAUCAUCAAUGAAGACUAUCACAAAAGUGUCCAAGAAAUCCUUAAACACCCUGUUCAUCAAAUCCAUAAAUACAGCAGGUGCAUUAGUCAAACCAAAAGACAUUACUAUGAAUUCAUAAUGUCCAUACCUCGAACGAAAAGCAGUCUUAGGAAUAUCACGGUCUCUAAUCCUCAACUGGUGAUAACCUGACCGUAAGUCAAUCUUAGAGAACACCGUGGCUCCCUGUAACUGAUCGAACAAAUCAUCGAUUCUGGGUAAAGGAUACCUGUUCUUGACUGUUACUUUAUUCAACUCUCUAUAGUCAAUGCAAAGACGCAUCGACCCAUCCUUCUUCUUCACAAACAAUACUGGUGCACCCCAAGGUGACACACUAGGUCGAAUAAAGCCUUUGUCAAGCAAUUCCUGUAACUGUACCUUCAGUUCUUUCAACUCAGCAGGAGCCAUCCUAUAAGGGGCUCUAGAAAUAGGAGUAGUGUUUGGCUCCAACUCAAUGGCAAAAUCAAUCUCUAUGUGGCGCAGUCCUGGAAGAUCUUUUGGAAAUACAUCUGGGUAUUCUCUUACCACAGGUUCUGAAGUUAAAGAAGUCUCACCUUCCCUAGUAUCCACCACACUUGCCAAAAUACUCCAAGUACCCUGGCUGAGUAGUUUACUAGCUUUCAUAGCUGAGAUUACUUUAGGCAGUACUACUGUUCCUACUCCCUUGAAUUUAAAGCUAGAUGCAGUAGGGGGACUAAACACAACUUCCUUACGAGAACAAUCAAUACUAGCAUGAUUAGUAGCUAGCCAAUCCAUACCUAAAAUUACAUCAAAGUCACGCAUAUCUAAUACCAACAAGGUUACGUCCAGCACACGACCAGCUAUCUCAAUUUCACAUGCUUUAAUCUUUUCCUUAGACAACAUAAUUUCUCCAGACGGUGUAGACACUGACAAAACAUAGUCUAAGGGUUCCACCUCUAAGCAUGCAUGCGUCACAAAAAGCGAUGAAAUAAAUGAAUGAGAAGAUCCCGAGUCAAACAAGGUCAAGGCAAAAUGCCCUAAUACUGGUAAUGUACCUGUCACUACUGUGCCGGCCUUCUCUGCCUCUGAUCUAUUAGUGGCAAAGAUUGUACCCCGCUGUGGAGGUCUCUCUCCCUGACUGCUCGAUCCAGCCCCAGUAGAUCUCAAGGGACACCUAUCAGCCAUGUGUCCCUCUUGCUUGCACUUAUAACAGACUCUCGUUCCCAUCAAACAACGACCCAGGUGGCGUUUCCCACACGUAUUACAUACUGGCCUCUCUUGAGUAGUGUCUCCUGCACCGCCAGAACUCUGCUGGAAACUGCGAAAAGAAUCACCUGGUCUCAUGUUCCUCUGAGGAACUCCUACAGUUCUCUGCUCUACUUUUCUCUUUUGACCGACGACGAUCCCUUAUUAAAGCUCCUUGGCUGUCUUUCAUCCUUCCCAAUACUCAUAUCCACUGCCAGACGCAGUGCUUCAGCUUGGGUAGUGGGCUUUAGUGCUCGCACAAAACCCCUAAUUUCAUCUCUCAAUCCCUUGACGAACCUAUCAGCUCUAGCCUGCUCAUUACUAACAAGCUCAGGGGCAAAACGUGACAGCAUAUCAAACUCCUGGUCGUACUCCUCGACUGUCAUAUAUCCUUGCUUCAACUCCAAGAAUUCCUGGCUUUUGGCGUCUCUAAGGUUAGCCGAGAAAAACUUGGUAUAGAAGCAGUUCUUAAACUGAUCCCAGGUAAUUUGCCUCACAUCUCCACCUAGCAUGCGCAUUGUAGUCCUCCACCAGAUAAUGCCUCUGUCCCUCAGUAGAAAAGCAGCACACUGAACUCUGUGCUCCUCGGACAUCUCAUGUAAUUAAAUAUGGUUUCCACAGAGGACAACCACAUUUCAGCUUUAGUAGGAUCCUCCAGUGACCCAUCAAACGUCUGAGGGUCAUACUUCCGAAAGUCCCUCAAAUGUUUCGCCUCAGCAGAAAGUUGGUUAGGUAAUUCUUGUGCAGGAGGGGCUGCUGGUGCAGGGGAACUACAGGUGCAGGUGGAACCAGGUGCCUGCUGGUUUUGAGCUAUAGCUGUCAUAAGUUCUGUAAACCUCUGCUCCAUGUGAGCAGACAGUGCAUCAAACUCAACGUGAGUCACGGGUGCAGCAGGAAUUCGCUGUUCAGCUUGACCCUCAGUAGGCUGAUUACGACCUGCUCCUCUACCUCGGCCUCCUGCUCUCUACGACCUCCUCUACGUACUUCUUCCCUUGGCGGCAUAAUUCCUAUUACCACCAACAACACUCUUUAACAAAAUCUUAAUCAUAAACAUAAGCAAGUCUUUAUCGUCAUGCAAUCUAGUUUAAUUUAGGCAAGGUCAUGCAAAUAAACCAUACAUAUAAGCAUCAAGCAUACCUGACGAGAGACGAAGGGUCGCGUUAGCCAUAGGAACACAAAAACAUAGACUUACAUCGUAAGUCAGUCUACAGAACCUAAAACUUAGGCUCUGAUACCAACUGUAACGACCCAACUUUUCUAGGUAAGUCGAGGUCAUUAAUUUUUAAUAAAAGACUUUAUUGAUACAAAAUGAAACGUAAGUCAAUUUAAAACAAUCUAUGUCAGGCCUGAUUUUCAAAUAUUCAAGAAAACUUAAAAAUAACACUAUUUACAAAUAAAAGUUUGUAAACUAAGUUUUAGUACAUCUUAAACCUUAAAAGAAACCAUAAGCGGAAGCAAAAUGACACAGUUCCUAUGGAAUCACGCUUCCUUCCUCCCCCUCGCCGGUUUGCCACCUUUAUUUCCUUUGCCUGAAAAUUAAACAUAAGAAGGGUGAGUAUAACAAUACUCAGUAAGAGACCCUUACUGUCUCCGUCAGGGAAAAAUAAUUGUUAAAGUUCUAUUGGGACACCCUGUACAGUCGCAGUCUUGUGAUCGCGUAGGAUACACAUUUCAGUCUAACGCCCCGAAGGACGUACAUAUCAGUCUAACGCCCCGAGGGACGUACAUAUCAGUCUAACGCCCCGAGGACGUACAUAUCAGUCUAACGCCCGAGGGACGUUCAUAUCAGUCUAGUGUUCUGCAGAAACACAUAUCAGUCAAAUGCUCCCGAAGGUGCAAAAUAAAUUGGUGAUCCUGGGACACCUACAAGGUAAACAUCCCAAUACACAACCUAACAAUUUAUCCCUCAUUCCAUUCAACCCAUCUUUCAGUUACUUCAAAUCACAAAGUCCUUUCUUCAACAUCCUAACAGUCAACUUAUUUUACUACAAUCAUAUGUCUGUCAAUAAUAUGCUAAUACAUCAGUCAAUUCACUAUACAGUCAAGUCAAUACACCCCUCAGUUCACCAGCACAAACCACAGUUCAGUAUAAUCCACAUCCACACCGAACAAAUUCACUAGUUCACAUCCAAUCUUUAUACAGCACAAUCUAUUAAUAUCAUCAUGUACACUAAGCAUAAUUUCAGUCAUUCACAUGUAUACUUUCGCAAUCCACAUCAAUUCACACAUCAAUGUAUAUAUAUAUGUUUCCAGUCAAAUACAACAUACACUAAACAUUUAGUCUGCAAUCAAACAUGUACAUCUUAAUCAUCAUCCAUACAGUCCAACACAACUCAAAAACUUUAGGUGAGUCCAGUAGAAAAUCCCUUACCUCACUUUUAUGCAGUUCUUCAAUCUACUAAAUCCAAUGAAUCAAAUCCUAACAUAAUCAAUCAUAAAAUCAACAUCUUCUAAAUAGUUUCAACCAUUCAAAUUACCCCAUAUGUAAAUUCACAACUUACCCAAGAAGUGAGAGAAUCAAGUCCACUUCAACCUUUUGGAAAAUCAAGGAUUCGCUCACUGAAUCAAGAUGUACCUUCAAGAAUUAAGCAUUUCGCCAACAAUUAAAUCCAAUGGCAGCAUCCAACAAAAACCAAGAAACCAACAAAAACCAUAACUUGUUCUUACCCAAAUAUGAGCCCAAUGGUUCACGACGAGGCAGAUCUGGACGACGAUUUGCUUUCCGAGGAGGCACGACGGUUGUGAGCGAAGAGGCACGGCAGUUACAGGCAGAUGGCGCGCGACGGUUUAGAUCUGAAGAAGAAAGAGAGGGUGGCAGUUGGGUUCGGCGAGCGGCGGCGGUUUUGCUUCGCGAACGGAGAUGGAGACGGCAGUUCGGCGCGCGGGACGAUGCAACGCAAAUCUGGACUGGCAGCGGCACGGUCUUGCUUCGCGGCUGGGUAUGGUGAAAAAGAAAGAGAAACGGAAGAAGAGAAGUCUCGGUGCGGUUGCUGGGCUACGGGCGGUUGCUGGGCUGCGGCGGAAGGAGAAAAUGGAAGGAAGAGAUCGGCGGAAAGAAGGAGAAGAUGGAUGGAGUCAGAUCGCACGGGGAAGAAGAAGGGAGAAAGAAAAGAAAAAGAAAAAGAAGAAAAAAAAAUAAUAAAGAAAUUUUAAUACUAAAGUAAAAUAAAAAUAUAUAUAUAUAAUAUAUAAUAUAUAUAUAUAUAUUUACCUUUCUUUGGGCAUUACAUUUUUUUUUUAAUUUUAGCAAAUAACAUUUUUUGCACGUGCAUAAUAUUUAUAAAAUACCAAAAUAUCCACAUUCUCCAACUAAAAUUAUUUUGUUUCUAUGUUGUAAUUAAUUUAUAUUAUGCAUUUAUCAACUUUUAAUUAUUUUUUACCUGAAAAAAGAUACAUAAACUCAUAUAUAUACUUUUUUCUUAAUAUCUCGGGACUCAACUAAUGGAUUCAAGACUUUAACUUUAUUUAAUCUUACUAAUUUCAAAAUAACCUAAUUGAAUUUGAAUUUCAAAAUAACCAAAUUGAAUUUCAACAUAACAAAAUUAUUAUUUUUCAAAUUUGAUAAUCUCAGAAAUAGAUUUUGUAUCAAAAUAACUUUAAUUGAAUUUCAAAAUUAAAAAAUAUCAACUUAUUCACUCUUUAUCUCACAAUAAUAUUAAUGGCUUGAAUAUCAAGAUAAUUAAAUUAUUGUUUUUAAAAUUGGGAGAAACUCAACAUUAAAAAAUAUCAACUUAUUCACACACAAUCACACGCGCACACACAUACAUACACUUGCACGCACGUGCACCCAUACACGCACACACACACGCGUGCACACACACACACACACACAAACGCACACAUGCACACGCACACCAAACCGCACGCACACAAAUACACACACACACGCACACUAAUGGUUCAAUUUCAUCGAUUGUUCCUAUUUUUCUGACAGUUUAUUUUUGCCAUCGAUAGAGGAUCUUCCGACAGACCUGCGUGACGGUGUGUGUUGACAGCUUAAUUUCGUUGGCAAAAGAAAAGUCGAUUAGUUUUUGAAGAUUUACUGACGAUAUUUGUCAUCGACAAAGGGUAAAUUUCUUGUAGUGCAUGUACAUCAAACAUAUCAAAUUUGUUAAGUGUACCAAUGAAGUAUAAGAAGUUUAUUAGUGGUGUAUCAAGCGUAUCAAACUUAUAAGUGAAGUCUUUAAGUGUAUCAAACUAAUCAAGUGUAUCAAGGUCUCAGGGUAUCAAGUGUAUCAAGAAGAAUCAAGUGUAACGAGAAGUAUUAUGUGGAACGAGAAGUAUUAUGUGUAUGAAGAUGUUUCAGGUGUGUAUCAAAAAGUAUCGAGUGUAUCAAUGAGUACCGAGUGCAUGAAUUGUAUCUAUCAAAUGUAUCAAGUGUAUCAGUAAGAAAUAUCAAGUGUAUCAAGCGGUAUUAGGUGUAUCAGACGUGUAUAAGGUGUAUCAAAUGUACAUCAAUAACGAGGGCAUUUGUGACAUUUUACCUCUUGAUGUGUGAGUUGGUCUUUGUUUUUGUCAUUUUCUCAAAUAAUAAAGUAUGUGUUCUAUGAACUUAAUUAUUAUAACUUACACUACUACAAAAACAGGCUCUCUUGACGUUUGCAGUUUUCCUUUCUUGACGUUUUUUUCAAAAAACGUCAAGAAAGAUUUCAUUUUUAAUAAAAAACGUCAAGAAAUUUUUUGAAACAUCAUUCUUGACGUUUAUUAAAUGUCAAGUAAAAUAAAUUUUUCUUUGACGUUUUUAAAACAUCAAGAAAUAUCUAUUAAUUUUUUGACGUUUUAAAACGUCAAGAAGCGUAUGAAUUCGACAUGCUUGACGUUUCUUAAACGUCAAGAAUUUAAAAUUUUACUCGACGUUUUAAAAACGUCAAGAAAUUCAUAAAAUAUUCAAGAAUAUUUUUUAAAUUACACUGAGAAGGUAUCGAAUUUUAAUUUUCAGCUCUAACAUUUUUCCUAAUCUACUUUUUUCUUCUUCACGACUGAGUAUUCGAGGGAGUCAUUUUUUGAAUUUGUUGACAUUUUUUAAACGUUAAGUAAGAUCAUUUUUUUUUUUACAUUUUAAAAAUGUCAAGUGUUAUUAAAUAAAUAUAAAAAAUAUAUUGGGCUAAUUUUAUUUCUUUAAAAUCUCUUUAAAUAUAUAGAUACAAUAAUAAAAAUCUCUUUAAAUAUAUAGAUACAACAAUAAAAAUUUCUUUAAAUAUAUAUAGAAAAAAAAUAUUGUACUAAUAUUAUUCAGAAUCACUUUAAAUAUAUAUAGAAAAAAUUAUUGUGCAAAUAUUAUUUUUUAAAAAGCCCUAGCCCCUUUCUACUCAAAACACGCGUGUUCCCCUUUCCCUCUCCAGCCGAAAUCCUUCCCAUUCGAAAAAAGUGUGUUCAGCAGUCGUCGUUCGCUUUCAACGCCUAUCCGUUCGCCUUCAACGUCUGUCCGUUCGAUUUCACCGUCGAGUUCCACCUCUUCGAAUCCCUCACGUCCGUCGUUUCAAAGUCCUUCGUCCGCUGCAUUCCAUCUUUCCAAAAUCCCUCAGUGCCUCACGCUACUGCGUGCCCGUCAUUUCGACUUCACCAACGAGUGCCUCACGUUCGUUGCUUCAAAAUCCAUCAUCCACUAAGUUGAGGUUAGGCUUUUAUUUCCCUAAAACAUAUAACAAUUUCAUUAUUCUUCAUUAUAUAAACUCAGAUGGCAUGAUUGGCAAUAAUAGAUAGGAAGGAUGGAGGUGUAAACUUCGAAUUGAUUGAAAUUCGUAUACUUUUAUUCAAUCUUUAAAGUACUGUAGUUUUUCUUCACCAUCAAAUUUUAUUAGGAUUUAAAGAAAACAAAUGAAUGUAUGAACAAAUUUUUGGGAGUGCAUGUCAUAUAAUCAACUUCCCUCUUUCAGUAAUUUUGAAGAUCUCAUAUAACAAUACUACUAAUUGAGAGCUUUGGAGGAUGAGUCAAUUCUUCUCCCUUCGUGAAAAGAAAAAGAAAAAAAGAUCAUGUAUUCUCUUUGUUUGUUACCUUAUGUUGUCCAAGGUUUUGCCUUCUUCCUUAAUAAUUUGGAGGUGUUUUAACUAAUUUUUUCAUUCACCCUCUUUUUGCCAUAGUUGCUUUUGUGUGCAGCUUGAGAUUUUUAAUUCAAUUGUGUGUUUUUACUUUUUUCUAUUGGGUGAAUUCUGUUUUGACUUUUUUUAAGCUAAAUAUAAUUAAUUGUUUCCUAUGGAACCAUAACCUUGAUCUUGGUUAUAGAUUUCAUUUUAAGGUAAAAGUAAAACACUCUUAUUUGAAUGAUUAUGUUGUAUUAUCCAUUGAAAGACUUGGUGUUGUAAUUGCCUUGUCUUCCUCAGGUAUUCUGUUGUAUGGUUGAUUACGAUCUUCAUGAUUGGAAUCUUUGUUUAGUGAAGCUCAUUUUGUUUGAUUUACUCAGUCGUGCAAUUGCUUUCUUUUUUAUGAUCACUUUAAAAAAGAAAUGAGUUUAGUUAGUUCUUUUAAUUUUCUUAAGUUUCAUUUGUAAUGCAUGAAAAUCUCUUAGCAGUAGAAACUGAAGACCAUAAUUGUAGAAGAUUUGUAUAGAUUGGAUUCACAUUCUCAACAUUGGUUAUACAGGCAUUACUUAUCAUUGUCCUUCCACUUUAAUUAUCAAUAGUGACAAUAACUUUAUUUCUCAUUAGAUUUACAAUGAUGGAUAAAUCUUGGAUGCACAAGAGUAGAUUGUCUAAAGAUUAUGAGUUGGGUGUGGAAAACUUCAUCAAAUUUGGAUUUUCUAAUACAACUAGCUCCUAUAUUCGUUGUCCUUGUUUGAAAUGUGGGAAUUGUGAAAAACAUAGUAGAAAGGGUGUUAGAGAUCACUUGUAUGUUAAUGGUAUUGAUGAAAGUUAUAAAUUUUGGUUUUGGCAUGGGGAAGAACUUCCUAACUCAUCCUUCUAUGAUGAAUCUUCAAAGUUUGACACCCAUACAUGUGAAGAUCAGGAUGUUGGAAGUGUAAAAGAAAUGAUUGAAGUUGCUCAUGAGGAGUAUUCAAAAGACCCAACUGGAUUUGAGAAGUUGCUUAUUGAUGCUGAAAAACCAUUGUACGAAGGAUGCAAAAAGUACACAAAGUUGUCUACUCUAGUCAAAUUGUAUAAUUUAAAAGUUAGGUAUGGAUAGAGUGAUACUAGUUUUUCAGAAUUACUUGAAACUUUGAAGGAAAUUCUGCCUAAUACCAAUGAGCUCCCGAAUUCAUUGUAUGAAGCAAAGAAAACAUUAGGUGCAUUAGGAAUGGAAUAUGAAAAGAUUCAUGCAUGCCCGAAUAAUUUUGUCUCUAUAGAAAAGAAUUUGCUAAUGCAAUUGAAUGUCAUGAAUGUUGUCAAUCAAGGUGGAAAAACGUCAAGGAUACAAAUGAAAGGAGAAAGCAAAUUCCCUCUAAAGUGAUAUGGUACUUUCCAAUCAUUCCACGAUUUAAAAGGCUAUUCAGAAGCAUUGAAUGUGCUGAAAACUUGACUUGGCAUUCUACUGAAAGAAUUAAUGAUGGUAAGUUACGACAUCCAGCCAGACUCUCCAGCAUGGAAGUUAGUAGACAUGAAAUGGCAAGACUUUGGUUCUGAACCCAUAAAUCUUCGUUUAGCAUUGUCAGCCGAUGGAGUAAAUCCUCAUGGUGACAUGAGUUCUAAAUACAGUUGUUGGCCGGUAGUGAUGGUUAUUUACAAUCUUCCACCAUGGUUGUGUAUGAAAAGAAAGUACAUGAUGCUAUCAAUGCUAAUUUCAGGACCAAAACAACCAGGGGAUGACAUAGGCAUAUACUUAGCACCACUAAUUGAAGAUUUAAAACUUUUAUGGGAAAGUGGUGUUGAAUGUUAUGAUGCUUAUCGAGAAGAACCAUUCAACUUAAGGUCAGUUUUGUUGUGGACAAUCAAUGAUUUUCCUGCAUAUGGUAACCUUAGUGGAUGUUGUGUGAAAGGGUAUAAAGCAUGCCCAAUUUGUGGAGAUAAUACAAAUUCUAUAAGGUUAAAGUAUGGGAAGAAAAUGGCAUACCUUGGACAUCGUAGAUUUUUGGCACGAAAUCAUCUGUAUCGACGACAAAAGAAGUCAUUCAAUGGUAAAAAAGAACUUGAUACAAUUCCAGAGCCACUUUAUGGGGAGGAUGUGUAUUUAAAAUUGAAAGAUCUUGAAUUUUCUAGAGGGAAGAAGAACCAUAAGAAACGGUUGAUGAACAGAAGUGACAAAAUUUGUUGGAAUAGAUUAUCUUCUUUUUUUGAGUUGCCAUACUGGAAGGAUCUUCAUGUUAGACAUUGUUUAGAUGUGAUGCACAUUGAAAAAAAUGUUUGCAUGAAUAUCUUAGGUACAUUUCUUGAUAUUCCUGGAAAAAGUAAGGAUGGAUUGAAUGCUAGACGCGAUUUAGUUGAUCUAAAACUUCGACCAGAGCUUGCCCCUAUCAGAAUAUGUUACUCCUACUAAUUACUUUCAUUAUGUAAAAAAGACAUCUAAACGUGAGGAUGAGAUUAUACUUGAGAAUAAAGAACUUCGAAGGCGUGUAAGCGAAUUAGAAGCACAUAACCACUCAAACUUGUCUAGACCAUUAUCUGGACAUGGUAGCUGUUCGAAGCCAAAUAUCUUAGAAGAGAGUGACUCGAUGAAAAUAAUCAAAGGGAAGAGUAAGUUGAUGGAUAAAAUCGAAGGGAAAGAGGUGGAGGAGAUCAAUGUAAAUGACGACAAAGUAGAGUUGGACAUCUUUAAGGUAUGUGAUCGAUCCUCUAAUAAACUCAAAUUCUUAAUAUUCAUAUCAUAUUGAAAGUGAAUGUUUUUCUUGAAUUAGGAGAGAGCCUUAAUAAAAAUGACUAAGGAAAAAGAGGUUGUCUGUGAAUCGACGUCAGUUUUGCCAAUGGGAAUGAAGUUGAUUCUCAUAUACGUUGAGAAGAUAAUGGAGAAAGAUUCUAGUAUCACUAUUCCACUACUGUUGGCAUUUUUGGUAUUAGUCGAAAGACUUCUGUUCUCCGAGAGGACAUCAUUGAUCUUUGUAACAUGAAUGAGGUCAAAACAUUUACAUUGGUGGCCUAUAUGACGUAAGUAUCAAUUUCAUUUCUUUAGAUCUAAAUUUAUGUAUCUCGUUUACAAGUUUAUAAUAUUUUGUAGGUACUUGUAUUCAUCUGUUCUUGGUUCGAAGGAAACUAUACAGUAUGUCUUUGUAGAUCCAUCCCUCACCUCUGUCGGACACUCGCAAGAAUCUCGAGUUCGACACUUAUGCAGUAGAUUGAUGGUCUCAAAGAUUAACGAAAUAGUUCUUGCUCCUUUUAAUCCUGGGUAAGUCAAGUUAUUUUAUUACUUGCAUUGCAAAAAACUAGUACUAAUAUUUUGUAUAAUUAGGGGUCAUUGGGCACUGCUGGCCAUAAAUGCAUAUGAUGAUAUAGUAUUUUACCUCGACUCACUAAGGACAACAUCGAAGUCAACUAUAAGAUACGUCACCGACACGUAAGUUAAUCUAGUAUUUCAUUUAGUGUUGAUUCUUAUAUGCAUGUACACAAUAUUUAAACUAUUUGUUCAAUCUUAUCUUGUCAAAACAGAGCAAUAGCGAUGUUUCAGUCACAAAAGAACAUUAAAAAAAGUAGAAAACAAACUUUAUGGCUAACAGUAAAGGUAAGUAUCAACUUUUAAAGUCAUUAAAUUUUUGUAGACUACUAGCAAUUAGGAUUACUUUGUUAUUCAAAUUUGUUGCUUUUAUAUAGUGUCCACUGCAAGGAAGUAUUGAGUGUGGAUACUAUGUGAUGAGGUAUAUGAGAGAAAUUGUGACUAGGGGAAGCAUUGUCAUAUCCGAUGCGGUAUGUUAUAUAUCAAACUAUUGGUUUUGUGAGUUAAUUGGUUUAUUUGUAUAGUCAGUUAAUUCAUUUAAUUUAUUUUGUAUGUUUAUUGAUUGAUACACGAAGAUCAUACUCACAGGCAGAACUACACGAGGUGCGAGUUGAGUUAGCUGACUUUUUGGGUUCUUACAUAUGAUUAUGACCAAUAUUUUGUGAUUCUGAAGUAGGAAAUUUUUUGUUGUGUCGCUUCUUUAUGACCCUAAACUUUAUGUAUAGAAACUUUAGCCGAUAAUUCUUUUGAAUUGUUCAUAUGGAGGAAGGGGGGAGGGGGGUUCAUUCGUAUAUAUUUUUAUUAUUGUUAUAGCUAGCAUGUUUUGUGACUUUUUAAGUUGAUUUGGAUUCAUGGCAAUGUAAUGCCAUAUGAAAUCUAAUGUAAAGCCUAUUUCAUUAUGUAUAUGUAAAGUCUUGGAAUUGAAUAUAUAUGGUGAAUGGUUUUAUUUAUAUAUGUUUGAGAUUUGAAACUAUAUUUGAUGAAUAUCAAAUAUCUAUGAAACUGUUGUGGACAAUUACAGGAUAAUUACAGGACAAUCAGAAUAUAUUUCUUUCCAUUACAGCAUAAUUCAAUUACAAUUUCUUUUUUUAAAAAAAAUUAAAAAAUGCUUGACGGUUUUAAAAUGUCACGAACAAUUGCAAGCUUGACGGUUUUAAACUGUCAUGAACAAUUGCAUUUUUACGGUUGACAAAUGUCAAAACAAUUACAUUCUUGACAGUUUUAAAAUGUCAUGAAUAGUAAAAUUCUUGACGGGUUUAAAAUGUCAUAAACCAGUUCAUCCUUGACGGCUUUAAAAUGUCAUAAACAAUACCAGUCCUGACGGUUCUAAAACGUCAUGAACAUAAGUAUAUUUGACGUUUAUAAAACGUCAACGUUCACUAUUCUUGACGUUUAAUCAACCGUCAAGAACUUUGCCUUUCUUGACGCUGGCUUCAACGACGUUUUUAAAACCGUCAAGAGAGCCGUCUCUUGAAGUUUAAAAACGUCAAGAGAGCCUGUUUUUGUAGUAGUGUUAUUUUGCCAUUUUCGCAAGUGUCCCUUAAUUGUAAUACAUGUAUAUGUGACAUAAUCUAAUCAAACUAACCAUAAAUGGACUUAAUGUAUCAGGUAUUAGGUGUAUCAGACGUGUAUAAGGUGUAUCAAAUGUACAUCAAUAACGAGGGCAUUUGUGACAUUUUACCUCUUGAUGUGUGAGCUGGUCUUUGUUUUUGUCACUUUCUCAAAUAAUAAAGUAUGUGUUCUAUGGACUUAAUUAUUAUAACUUAUUUUGCCAUUUUCGCAAGUGUCCCUUAAUUGUAAUACAUGUAUAUGUGACAUAAUCUAAUCAAACUAACUCAUAAAUGGACUUAAUCGAUCUCAUGGACCACGAAUUCUUCAAUUACUUGCAAAUUUGGUGAGUUCCUUCAAACAGUGGGCGAAGAGCUUAAUUUUGAGAGAGAGGAAAAGUCGUGAAGAGUAUAUGCGAGAGAGGGGGAACGUGCCAGAGAGCAUUUGCGAGAGAGCUAAAGACAGCGACGAUGUGGGAUGAAGUAAGGUUUUUUUCGGUCGUUGUUCACAGUGGGAUGAAAGCUUCGAAUUAUUUGUUUUAAAUCAAAAGGCGUAAUGAUUGAAGGAAAACAUUUAUUUUUUAUUAGGGUAAUUUUUAAUGACACAUAAUUUAUGUCAUUAAUUAACAAUGCGAAAAUUUUGUCAAGAAAACUCAAUUUGUGUCACGAAAAAUUUUGUAUUUUUAUUUUUAACGACACAUUUUAUUCCCUCAUGUCCCUUUUUCUUGAUUUCAAGUGUCAUUAAAACUUAUUGUUGAAUAAGAAAUUUUGAGACCAAUCACAAGUUGCCACAUCAUUUAUUAAGUUAAUGAUGAAAAGUACAAAUAAUUAAAUUUGGGACUAAUUAAAAUUGACAUAUGCUCCAAAUUAAAGAGUUGAAAAUAAAUAAAAUGGUCAUUCUAAUAAUGCCACAUGUUUUCAUAUUAAUAGUUGGAUUAAGUUAAUCAUUUUAGUUCAAUUAAAUAUUAUUUACUUGGACUAAGUUCAAUUAAGCCCAAAAAAUAAGCUUAAUUGAGCCCAAAGACUAAAUAUAACCUAAGUCCAUAUGGUUGAGCCCAUGCGUCUGGUCCAUGGACCAACUAGGUUCAAACCCAUAAAGCCCACCAGUGAACUCUAUAAAUAGAGGAAUUCUCCUCAUUUGUAGGGGUUGGAAAAUAUUGACUCUAGAAGAUCCAGAGAGAAUUCUUCAAAGAGCUAGAAGACUCCCUAACUCCUGAAGUUGACCAUCCUCGAAGAUUGAAGCUUCUUUAAAGAUACAAGCUUUCUUCCAAGGCUUCAACUUCAAGAACAUCACGUGCUUCGCUUCCUCCAAAUCAAGCUGAAGCAUCCAGUUGAGAGAGAAUCAGAGGAUCAAAUUCUAGAGAUUGAACCGCAUCGCAUCAAAUCAACAAAAAUACAACAUCAACUCAAGUUCAAGUCCACGAAUUAAAUUUCUCCAGAAAUCUCGUGCGAACAAAUUGGCACGCCCAGUGGGACCAUCUCUACCUCUCAUCUCUCUCUCAUCAUCUAGAUCUACAAGCAAAUCAAUGGCAUCAAAGAAAGUUGCAUCCAAAUCUUCAGCUGCAAGCGACACCUACACGGGACCUAUCACCUGUAGUCGUUCCAAGGGGAUCAUCCAAGGGCAAGACCAAGGUUCCGCCAUCGCGCAGAGCAUCCUGAAGCAAUUAAUGGAAUCUCCUAAAGCUGGAAUUGUCAUCAAGGAAAAUCCUCUAUAUAAUGAUUAUGAUUCUGCCUCUAGCAGGUCACUGAAAGAAGCACACCCAGAUGUGAUGUCCGUCAUGAUGGCUGAUGUAGCAGUCGAGACUGCCAUGGCGGAGAUGGAGAGAAAAUUAAUCUCCUGAUGAAGGUUGUUGAUGAACGAGACCACGAAAUUACAGCUUUAAAGGAGCAGAUGCAGACUCGUGAAACUCUGAAUCGAGUCAAACUUGUCGUUAAAGUUGAUGACAAAGGGAAGAACGUGGUACAAGAAAAUCAGCCACAACAACAAUCAACUUCUGUGGCUUCUCUCUCGGUUCAACAAUACAAGAUAUGAUCACAAACUCCAUCAGAGCACAAUAUGGAGGCCCAUCUCAGACUUCUUUCAUGUACUCUAAACCAUACACCAAAAGAAUCGACAACUUGAGAAUGCCGCUUGGAUAUCAGCCUCCAAAAUUCCAGCAGUUUGACGGAAAGGCAAUCCAAAACAGCACGUUGCUCACUUCGUCGAAACAUGUGAGAAUGCAGGAUCAAGAGGAGAUCAACUAGUCAGACAAUUUGUUCGAAGCUUGAAAGGAAAUGCUUUUGAAUGGUAUACUGAUCUGGAGCCAGAAAGCAUUGAGAGUUGGGAACAACUAGAAAAGGAGUUUCUCAAUCGCUUCUACAGCACCAGGCGUACUGUAAGCAUGAUGGAGCUUACAAAUACGAAACAAAGAAAGGGAGAACCAGUCAUCGACUACAUCAAUAGAUGGAGAGCUCUAAGUCUUGACUGUAAAGAUCGGCUCACCGAACUGUCGGCUGUAGAAAUGUGCACCCAAGGCAUGCACUGGGGACUCCUCUACAUUUUGCAGGGAAUAAAGCCCCGCACAUUUGAAGAACUGGCAACUCGAGCUCAUGAUAUGGAGUUGAGCAUCGCCAGUAGAGGAACUAAAGAUUUUCUUGUUCCUGAAGUAAAGAAAGAUAAGAAAGAGAUGAAAGGUGCUGAAAAGAUAGUGAAAAGCACCGCGAAAGAAUCUAUGGUCGUAAACACAACCCCGCUGAAAUUCUCCAAAGGAAAGGAAGCGAGGGUUGAAAAGAAGGAUGAUGGAAGCGAAAGGCGACGUCUGACUUUAAAAGAAAGGCAGGAAAAAGUUUACCCAUUUCCUGAUUCAGAUAUCGCUGACAUGCUAGAGCAACUACUAGAGAAGCAGCUGAUCCAGCUGCCAGAAUGUAAACGACCUGAGCAAGCAGGAAAGGUAGAUGAUCCCAAUUACUGCAAGUAUCAUCGGGUCAUCAGUCAUCCAGUAGAGAAAUGCUUCGUGCUGAAGGAGCUAAUUCUAAGGUUGGCUCGUGAGAAAAGGAUUGAGCUAGAUUUGGAGGAAGUAGCUCAAACAAACCACGCUGAAGUGACGAUAAUGUCUGAGGCUUCUUCGUCGAGAUUGAUUUUUGAGCAAAGGAAAAGCUUGGUCCAGUUCGGGACCUUUGAGCCUAUAGUUGUCCAAUUCUUUCAGGAAAUCUCAUACGAGGAUCCUCAAGGAGAGAAAAGACCAAUCGAAGAAGACGAUGAAGGGUGGAUAGUGGUGACCCACCGAAAGAAAAGACAGUCGAUCCCGACCCAAAGAGAGUCUCGCUCUUACCAAAACUAUAGAAGAGGAAAUAAGACUCAAAAGAAUAAGAAAAAGAAGAAGACUCAUAAGCUUAAGCUCGUACAUAAUGAAGACAUGAAUUUCUCUCGACCUCAACGCUUAGUGACCUUGCAGACUUCCUUCCAAAAAGCUUCCUUUGUGAUCAUCAGGAUGAAGACCCAGAAGUCGUUGCGUGUCAUGCUAUCAACACAACGGAGGAAGAAAUAAUCCCUCCAAGAUCACUAGAAGGAGAGGGAGUAUCAAAAGACCUUUCAAGGUUUAAUGUAGAGGAUCUAUUAUCACUUCCUCAAGAGACCAAAACCAUCCUUAUUGAUGCAUUGCUAAAUUCAAGAGCAUCAAGUUCGAGUACUCCGACUAUGACAUAUGAGAGUGGUUCUUAUUGUAUGUCUAUAGACUUCUCAGAUGAGGAUUUGUUGUUGGGAUCUAAACUUCAUAAUAGACCUUUGUAUGUUUCUGGAUACGUUCGAGAACAGAGAGUCGAUCGAAUCCUCAUUGAUAAUGGCUCAGCUGUCAACAUAAUGCCAAAGUCGACUAUGUGGCAAUUAGGCAUCUUGAUGGACGAGCUCUCAAAUAGCAAGCUAGUAAUUCAAGGUUUUAACCAAGGUAGCCAAAGAGCAAUAGGCAUGAUACGGUUAGAACUCAUAAUUGGCGACCUAAAGGCCAGUGCAUUGUUUCAUGUCAUAGACUCAAGGACUACUUACAAGUUGUUACUAGGGCGUCCUUGGAUUCAUGGAAACGGAGUAGUAACUUCAACACUGCAUCAGUGCUUCAAAUUUUAUCAGGACGGUGUAAAGAAGGUUGAAGCCGACUCUAAUCCAUUCUCAGAAGCUGAGUCUCACUUCGCAGAUGCAAAGUUUUAUUCAAAGAAUAAUAAUAUUUUAGAAGUUUUGCCUGCAGAAACCCCUCUUACAAAAGGAGAAGAUAAUUCACAACUGAAAUCACUCGCAACCACAGAACCACAUGAAAGUGCGAGAACCUUUAACUCUGGAAAGGGUGAAGCAUACACUAGCAGCACAAAGGGUAUGAUCUUGAAGGAUGAAAAUGCUGCAAACACACCAGUUUUGCGUUAUGUCCCUCUGUCAAGGCGCAAGAAAGGCGAAUCACCAUUCAUGGAGUCUCCAAAAGGUUUGAAAGUUGGUGACAUCGAAAUCAUAAAAGAAAGCUUCACUACACCACUAACUAAGAUAGCGAAGCAGGAGGUAAAGGUAGAUCUGGUGGAAGCAAACUUGCCCCAAAGGCGAACGAAAGACGGAUUCGACCCCAAGGCUUACAAAUUGAUGGCGAAAGCAGGUUAUGACUUCACAGCUCACACCGAGUUUAAAAGCUUGGAAAUUCAUGACCGACCUGAGCUCUCCUCAACUCAAAAGAAGCUUCUACGGAAGGACAUUCUAUACCCGUGUCGAGAAAAGGACUCGGAUACAAGUCGCCAGAACCGAUCCGUAUAACUAAAAAGGGAAGGAAAAAGUGGUUGACAUCAAUCAUAUAACUAUAGAGGAUGACAAUACUGACGUAAAAGAAGGUGAUAAUCAGAGAAUCUCAGUAUUUGAUCGAAUUAGACCAUCUGUUGCACGUCCCGUAGUAUUUGAAAGGCUAAGCAUGACAGAGGCAGAAAGAGAAAGGCUCCAGUCAGUACCAAACCUUGAGAGACAUUCGGUCUUUCGAAGGCUAACUACGACUCCCAUAAAGGAAGAAAGCACAUGCCAUGCCUUGACAACUACAAGACCAUCAGCCUUUGAAAGGCUAGGUGUGUCUAAAAAAAAAAUGUACAAGCACCCCGUGCUCCGAUUUUUAAUCAUCUCGGGGAUAAAGGAUCACACGACAACAUUGAUUCCAACAUAGCAAAGAAGAAGGAACCAAUGUCUCGUGUGAAAGUUUGGCGUCGAAUUAAGCAUACAGAUGUCGAUAAUUAUCGUAGUAAGAAGUUUCCUUGCGAGACAAAGGAAAAUGGAGAAAUUCAUAGCAACGUUCCUUCUCGCAUGAAAAGAAAAACUUUUGUUACUCUCAAUACAAGUCAAGGUUCGUUAAAGGUAAAAAGACAUGAUGUUAUACUAACGAAUCCUGAAAAAGAAGGGUCGGAACAAGGGGAAGGUGAAACUUCAUGUCAUCACAUCACCAUUAUUGAGGAAUCAGAGACUGGAACUCAUGAAGAAGACGCAGAAAAUGCCCCACAAAGUUUAGAGGAUGGUGGUCAAUCUACUGUAGACGAGCUAAAAGAGGUGAACCUUGGUACAAUAGAGGAACCACGUCCGACUUUCAUUAGUGCGUCCCUCUCUAACGAAGAGGUGGAUAAAUAUAUGAGUUUGCUCACCGAAUACAGGGACAUCUUUGCGUGGUCGUACAAGGAGAUGCCAGGACUUGACCCAAAAGUAGCAGUCCAUCAUCUUGCAAUUAAACCGGAUAUCGACCGAUUAAACAAGCACAACGACGUUUUCGACCGGAGCUUAUCCCUCAAAUCGAGGUGGAAGUCAACAAGUUGAUCGAAGCAGGAUUCAUUCGCGAGGUCAAAUAUCCAACGUGGAUAGCAAACAUUGUCCCUGUUAGAAAAAAAAAUGGACAACUUCGCGUUUGUGUAGACUUUCGCGAUCUGAAUAAUGCAUGCCCUAAAGAUGAUUUUCCCUUGCCCAUCACCGAAAUCAUGGUUGAUGCAACUACUGGACACGAGGCGUUGUCGUUUAUGGAUGGGUCGUCUGGAUAUAAUCAAAUACGGAUGGCCCUCUCAGAUGAAGAAAUGACAGCUUUCAGAACUCCAAAGGGAAUAUACUGUUACAAGGUGAUGCCCUUUGGAUUGAAAAAUGCCGCGCUACUUAUCAACGUGCCAUGCAGAAAGUGUUUGAUGAUAUGUUGCACAGGUAUGUUGAAUGUUAUGUUGAUGAUCUUGUAGUCAAAACAAAGAGACGACAAGACCAUUUGAAGGAUCUAAAAGUCGUGUUUGAUCGCUUGCGAAAAUAUCAGCUAAGGAUGAACCCUCUCAAGUGUGCGUUUGGUGUAACUUCAGGAAAAUUUCUUGGCUUCAUUGUAAGGCAUCGAGGGAUCGAAAAUAGACCAGUCCAAGAUUGAUGCCAUUCAGAAGAUGUCAAGACCUAAAAGUUUGCAUGACCUAAGAAGUCUCCAAGGACGACUGGCUUACAUCCGAAGGUUCAUCUCUAACUUGGCCGGUCGGUGUCAACCUUUUCAAAAGUUGAUGAGAAAAGGAGAAAAUUUUGUGUGGGAUGAAGCUUGUCAGAACGCUUUUGAUAGCAUAAAGAAAUACUUGCUUACUCCCCCAGUGCUGGGAGCUCCAGUACCUGACAAACCACUAAUAUUGUACAUUGCUGCACAAGAAAGGUCCUUAGGAGCAUUACUGGCACAAGAAGAGGUAAAGGGAAAGGAGCGUUCUCUCUACUAUCUAAGCAGAACAUUAAUUGGGGCUGAAGUUAACUAUUCUCCUAUCGAAAAGAUGUGUCUUGCACUUUUCUUUGCCAUUGAUAAGUUGAGGCAUUAUAUGCAGGCCUUCACGGUUCAUCUAGUGGCAAAAGCAGACCCUAUAAAGUAUGUUCUAUCCAGGCCAAUCAUCGCUGGACGCUUAGCCAAAUGGGCGGUUCUACUCCAACAAUAUGACAUUGUCUAUAUUCCCCAAAAGGCGAUAAAAGGACAAGCGCUAGCAGACUUUUUAGCAGACCACCCAAUUCCUUCGGAUUGGAAGUUAUGUGAUGACCUACCAGACGAUGAGGUUUUCUUCACAGAAGUUAUGGAACCUUGGACUAUGUACUUCGAUGGUGCAGCUCGAAGAAGUGGUGCGGGGGCAGGCAUUGUCCUCAUUUCUCCUGAGAAGCAUAUGUUGCCUUAUAGCUUUGCACUUUCCGAAUUGUGUUCAAACAAUGUGGCUGAAUAUCAGGCUUUGAUAAUUGGCCUUCAAAUAGCAUUAGAAAUCGGAGUGUCAUUCAUAGAGGUCUAUGGUGAUUCAAAAUUGAUAAUCAAUCAACUCUCGCUUCAAUAUGACGUGAAACAUGAAGACUUGAAGCCAUAUUUUGCUUAUGCUCGACAAUUGAUGGAAAAGUUUGAUAAUGUGAUGUUAGAACAUGUCCCUAGAGUAGAAAAUAAGAGAGCGGAUGCAUUGGCAAAUUUAGCCACGGCCUUGACCAUGCCAGAUGAUGUAACUCUGAACAUACCACUUUGUCAACGAUGGAUUAUACCCCCAGUUAGGCCUGAAUGUCAGGAAGUGAACAUGGCAACAUCCUAUUUGAUUGAUGAAGAAGAUUGGCGUCAACCCAUCAUAGAGUAUCUUGAACAUGGAAAGCUUCCAAAGGAUUCUCGUCAUAAAAUUGAGAUACGAAGAAGGGCAGCACACUUCAUUUAUUACAAGGGAACUUUAUAUCGCCGUUUUCUUGAAGGGCUCUUCCUUCGAUGUCUCGGAAAGGAAGAUUCGGUAAAAGCUCUAAAGGAAGUACAUGCAGGUGUUUGUGGAGCACAUCAAUCGGGACCAAAGCUUCAAUUCCAGCUAAGAAGAAUGGGCUACUACUGGCCUAAGAUGAUCCAAGAUUCAAUAGACUAUGUGAAGAAGUGUGAGCCUUGUCAAUACCAUGCAAACUUCAUACACCAACCUCCAGAACCUCUUCAUCCAACUGUGGCUUCUUGGCCUUUUGAGGCUUGGGGACUCGAUCUGGUUGGCCCCAUUACACCAAAAUCAUCAGCAGGACAUUCUUAUAUCCUAGCAGCAACAGACUAUUUUUCAAGGUGGGCUGAGGCCAUUUCAUUGAGAGAAGCCAAGAAGGAGAACGUGGCAGACUUUAUUCGAACACACAUCAUCUAUCGAUACGGUAUUCCACAUCGAAUCGUGACGGAUAAUGGAAAGCAAUUCUCCAAUAGUAUGAUGGACAAGUUAUGUGAAAAAUUCAAAUUCAAGCAAUAUAAGUCAUCCAUGUACAACGCAGCUGCGAAUGGACUAGCAGAAGCAUUCAACAAAACAUUGUGUAAUCUUUUAAAGAAAAUUGUCUCCAAGUCAAAGAGGGAUUGGCAAGAAAAGAUCGGCGAGGCAUUAUGGGCUUAUCGGACGACUCAUCGCACCCCUACAGGGGUUACACCAUAUUCGCUUAUUUACGGUGUGGAGGCUGUCCUUCCUCUCGAAAGGGAAAUUCCGUCACUAAGAAUGGCAGUACAAGAGGGAUUGACUACCGAAGAUAAUGUGAAGUUACGUCUUCAAGAAUUAGAAGCACUUGACGAAAAGCGAUUAGAGGCUCAGCAAGCAUUGGAAUGUUAUCAAGCGAGAAUGUCCAAAGCUUUUGAUAAACACGUUAAACCUCGCUCCUUUCAAGUCGGUGAUCUAGUACUUGCCGUAAGGAGACCGAUCAUCACAACAAGGCAUACAGGAAAUAAGUUCACACCUAAAUGGGAUGGACCUUACAUUGUUAAAGAAGUUUAUACAAAUGGCGCAUACAAGAUCGUUGAUCAAGACGGACUACGAAUUGGCCCAAUCAAUGGUAAAUUUCUUAAAAAAUUUAUGCUUAAUUUUGUUAGGUAAAAAAAAAAAAAAAAAAGUUGAACUACGUUAUGACUUGAUCCCUAUAUUAUAAAGGGUACGUAGGCAGCUUAAGGAAAACCUUAAGCCCAGUCCAGCAAAAAAAAAGUUGAACUACGUUAUGACUUGAUCCCUAUAUUAUAAAGGGUACGUAGGCAGCUUAAAGAAAACCUUAAGCCCAGUCCAGCAAAAAAAAAAAGUUGAACUAUGUUAUGACUUGAUCCCUAUAUUAUAAAAGGCAGCUUAAAGGAAACUUUAAGUUCAGUCCAAUAAAAAAAAAAGGAAGAAAGACAAAUUACAUUUAAUAGAAAAUAUGAUGAGGAGUGGAACAAUGAAAGAAUAAUUUUUUUUUUAUUAUUAUUAUAAACUUCUAGCAAAAAAAAAUUAAAAAGGCAUAAGUAGAUAAAUAAGAGAAAGCAGAGAAUCAUGGAGUCCAUUUAAAGUUCUUCAGCUCCUCUAGUGUGCUUUCUAAAGAUUCACGAAGUGUUGAUAGCAUUUUAGCAUCAAUAUCUCCAACGAUCGGGGCACAUUCGAGUUUGUCAAUUUCCUCACAAGUCUUCGAAAUCUCAUGUUGCUUCUGCUUCAGCUCCAGGUCGUUCUUAAAAAUUAUUCCAGAAAGUUUAGCAGACUCAACCCGCACCAUCUUUAGUUUUGCCUCUAGUUUAGCCUCCUUAGCGGACAGUCGUGUAAGACGACGUUUAGCAGUGUUGGUCUCUGCUAAUAUACGAUUCUCAUCAACUCGCAGAGUCUUCACAAAACCUUUUGCCUCCGUUAGCUGAACAUCCUUAGUUGAUUGGAGUGGAAAUGAGGAAUGUAUUUGAUUAUGGUUCUCGACACCUUGGAAGUAACCAUUCACAAGCUCCCUCAAAACAAUAAGGUUGUCGCUGCCGUUAGUCGCAAUCGCAUCAAAGAUCUUAUGCAUUUCUGGUUCAAGACUACUCAGUCGUUCAAAAGGGGUACGAAUGAUCUUCUGUCGUAGGUUUUCCCAUAAGGUUAUGGCAGCCUGUCGUCGGAGGUCAGAAAUUAAGCUGUCAGCACAAAAAUGAGAAAUCUCAGAAACUGUAAUAGGCUCUGUGCCUUCCACUUUUUGAGGAGGUCCCUUGAUCACAGGAGGACAAGCAGACACAAUAUUUGCGCCUAUAGGUUCCUUAGAGUUCCCAUUAUAAGAAAGUACAACGUUACAGUCUUCUAGAUUCAGCAUCAACUCUAGGGUAUCUUCGAUGUGUAGGUCAUGAUCACCUAAAGAAUACUACAAAAUAAUAUUAACAACAAGAAAUAAGGGGAGUAAAGGAGAGAAAAUACAAUCAAUAAAUAAAUAAAAUUGGGAGACGAAAAGAAACCAUGGGGGAAGGGACAUCGAAAAAUUGUGCAGCAUCAGGGACCCGAAUAGGAGACUCUUCAUCAUCGAUCGACUGUUUGUUAGGCUUCUUGGGUCUCUUCCAAUGGCGAUCAUCAUUGCUGCUUUGACUGUCCUCAAUACGUUUAGAAGGAUGCUUGGUAGCUAUCGAUAAGCGGUUGUCCUUACCCAUAUUGUCAAUACCACCUUUAAUAAGAUGUUUAAAUCGUGUAGAAAGAGACAAAUUAUCCACCAAGCGUUUUGUCCCUCCCUCAAUUUUCUCCACAAGUCGUUCAUCAGUUUCAUCGGAGCAUAUCUUCUGAUUUCCACUACCAAAAUUAUGUUCAAUCUUUUUUGUGGUUUUGGAUUUGAUGUGAGGGGGAGUAGGACGAUCUAUCAAAUGUUGUACUCCUUCUUGGAGGUAAUCACCGUGUUUUGCAAGCCACCAGACCUUAUAAUGAGAGGUAACAUGUGUGUCUGGAUUAGGGGCAGACACAGGAAGAUAUACUUGGGAAAGUGUAUUCUCGCGAAUACAAAUCAUCCAACAAUAUCGUACGUUAAAAAAAUUGGCUUCGGGAAUUUCUUCACCUAAGUCAUAUGGCACGUCUUGAUAAAAUCCAAAUGGUCGGCUAAAGCGACAAGGACUAUAAGGCUCAAUAACUGUGGAGGAUCCACAUUGCGAGGAUAGAAAACAAGAGCAAAUGCUUAUGAAAAAUGAAGCAUUCUAACUAAUUAACUCUCCAUCAUCCGUUAAGAGUUCGUCCUUAUUCUUUGUUGGAAGACACGCAUGCCAUGACACAUACUUUCCCUUGUGGAUAUGUGUUCGAGCCUCAAGAUUAGUAUAAUAUUUGGCCCCACCUUCACCAGAAAAUUCAACCAUGCGAGGACCCCUAAGACUCCUAGGGGCUUUAUAAUGAGUGUUGAAGUAAAGAGCAAGCCACCCAUGGACAUAGUGAAGAGGAAAACAGGCAUUUGAAUAACCAAGUGAUGAAGUAGAAUCAUGAACUUGGCGUAGGCCACUAUAAAUAUUAGCUAAAACAGGGACGGCAAGGCUAAAUGUGUAGCCUUCCGCCAUGAGGCUAGCAACCUUAAAAACCUCCGGACGAAGGGAAAGUUGCUUAUCAGGGAACACAAACACACAUAGCCAACAAGAGAGAAAUGCCGCUAGAUAGGUUUUGUCCCUAUGAUCAUCAGUGACGCUUAAGUCAAGGAACACUUUGAGUUCAGCUUUAGACCAGUCAGGACGUCUGAUGGGAAUUCCAUCUGGAUUAUGAGUUGAGCGAGGGCGAGAAGUCUUUUUAGGCUUUCGAGGAGGCGGUUUCGAAUACUUUACCUCAGAUCGUGUAACCCAAAAAGAGAUCCAUUCACUUACAGUGAUUUGAGAGUGAUCCAUGCGUUGAGAAACAAUGCGGUAAUAGGCUGCAAAUAAAUGCUCACAACUUCUUGGACAUACAUCAGGUGAUCCUAUUAAGUCUUGGUGGCAAGGAAUGCUUUCUUCAUAAAAUCUACCUUUAAUCGGGAGUCCUCCUAGUAUCCAUAAGUCCCAUAAGGAGAUGGACAUCUCACCAGCUGAGGUGUGAAGAGUGUUUGUUGAAGGACACCAUGCCUCGCAGAAAGCCCGAUCAAUGUCACUGUUGCGAUCAUAUGUAUAUAGGGAAGCCAUCACAGCAUUAAAUAGGGAGGCUCGCUUGAGUACUGCCGUAUUUCUAGCAACAACGAGCUCUAACCACUCCCAAUAAUGAGGAAGAUAGUAAAAUUCUCCAUGUACCUUGAGCACAUUUCCCCAACGAAUUUUUGGGUCGUUUAUAAUUCGACGACCCAACGUUGAUUCUGGAUCCUCAUUUGGAGGCUUGUUGUGAAUCGAAGACUCCAGAAACCAAGAUUUUAAAGAUGAAUUUGGAUUUACAAACCGUUCCUUGGACCAUUUAGGCAAAAAGAUAAAAUUGUCCUCGGGUAUUUGAGAGUCCAUAAUAUUCUCAUAUGUCCCCUCUCUCACAGGAAGAAUGAUCCCUUCCUCUAAAGAUUGAUCUACGUCCUUCAGGAUAAUUAAACACCUUUUGGUCGAGUCAGAAUACUCAGUGAAGUGCACCAUGAUGAAAAGAAGAGUUCCUGCAAAAUAAUAAUAAUAAUAAGAAGAAGAAGAAAUAGAAAAAAAAAAAAAAACCAAAACAAAAAAAAAAAAAAAAAAAAAAAAAAAAAAAAAAAAAAAAAAAAAAAAGAAAGAAGAAAAAAAAAAGAAAGAAAGAAGAAAAAAGGGGGGGGAAGAAAAAGCAAAUGGAGAUUGAAGCCCGACGAUGACAGAGUCGAUCUCUCCUACUAGGGCGAUAGAUCUGACGGCAAAAGCCCGAUCGUCCCUAGAAGAAGCUCAACAAAGUCAUUUCUGCAAACGAAGAUCGAAGCCCGACGAUGACAGAGUCGAUCUCUCCUACUAGGGCGAUAGAUCUGACGGCAAAAGCCCGAUCGUCCCUAGAAGAAGCUCAACAAAGUCAUUUCUGCAAACGAAGAUUGAAGCCCGACGAUGACAGAGUCGAUCUCUCCUACUAGGGCGAUAGAUCUGACGGCAAAAGCCCGAUCGUCCCUAGAAGAAGCUCAACAAAGUCAUUUCUGCAAACGAAGAUUGAAGCCCGACGAUGACAGAGUCGAUCUCUCUAACUAGGGCGAUAGAUCUGACGGCAAAAGCCCGAUCGUCCCUAGAAGAAGCUCAACAAAGUCAUUUCUGCAAACGAAGAUCGAAGCCCGACGAUGACAGAGUCGAUCUCUCCUACUAGGGCGAUAGAUCUGACGGCAAAAGCCCGAUCGUCCCUAGAAGAAGCUCAACAAAGUCAUUUCUGCAAACG